AUCUCCUCCUCCUCAAACCACCGCUCCACCGCACAUUACAUUCUUUUUCUCAGUCUCUCGGUGGUGCUCCAAUUUUCCAACUCCGCCUUGACAAUCGUGUUGCAUUUGUCGUCUCAACCCUCUCCCUCGCUGAAGAAUGUUUUACCAAAAACGACAUCGUUUUAGCCGAUCGACCAAAAUUCACUUUUGGGAGACUCGUUGAGUACAAUUACACCACUAUGGCCACUACAUCUUAUGGUGACCAUUGGAGGAAUUUGCGCCGUAUUGGUGCCAUCGAGAUCUUCUCGUCUCAUAGACUCGAUAGCUUUUUAUCCGUCCGUAAGGAUGAGAUCCGACACUUGAUAUCAUGUCUCUCCAAAAAUUCCUUACAUGUAAGUGAAAUACAUAUCUACACAACCAAAAUAAUGCAUAUAGCCACAAAUUAAUUACGGAUUUUAUGUGACUAUUUUUUAAAAUCAGGGGAAAGUCAAGAAAAAGCCAUUUUAGUAAAUAUUACAUCAAUAAUAAAUUUGAACCUAAUUUGAUGUACGUAUAUAUUUGUCAUUUCAAGAUUUAUAGUUGUCUGCUCAAAACCGUUUUGCAAUUUAGUACAUAUAGAUUAGAUUCAAAUUUAUUAUUGAUGUGAUAUUAAUAAUACGCUUCUUCGAAAUUAUUGUGUUUUUAUUAUUAUCUCAAACCGAAACUCAUUUUAUGAUUUGACAACUGAUUUCUAACACAGUUUCAAGAUUCAUGGAUUUCCAAUAGAAAAAACUGUCGAUUAGACUUGUCUACGCUAUUUAUAUAUUAGAGUAUAUAUUUUUUAAUCAAUAUGUGAGUAUAUCUUAUAUUUAUUGAUGCGGUAAUGUUAACAGAUUUCUAUGCCUAACCAUAUGUUCAUGUCAUAAUAAUUUUAGGGGUUUGCAAAGGUGGAGCUGAGAUCAUUGUUUGGGAACUUUAAUAUCAAUAACAACCUGAGGAUGAUAGCCGGAAAACGAUUCUUCGGAGACGGAGCAGAGCAAGACGACGAUGCAAAACGCGUGAGGCAGUUGCUUGACGAAGCUGUAUCUAGUGCUGGUGUCGGACACGCUUCUGACUAUGUUCCGCUCCUCCGUUGGUUUACUAAUUAUGAGAAAGGGGUCAAGAAGUUGGCGGUUCGGGUCGAUGAGUUUCUUCAAGGACUAGUUGAUGAGAAACGUGCACAAAAAGAAAAGAGUAACACUAUGAUCGAUCACUUGCUUUCUCUCCAAGAAACUCAACCUGAUUACUAUACGGACGUCACCGUCAAAGGACUCAUAGUUGUAAGUAUUGAGGAACCUAAUUAAUACAUAAUUAACAACACUAAUUAAUUAAGGAUUAUAUCAUGGCUAAUUCUUGCCUUUUAUUUGGAUAGGUUAUGAUAUUCGCGGGAAAUGUAACAUUAACAAGGACGUUAGAAUGGGCGAUGCUAUAUCUGUUGAACCAUCCAGAAGUACUAAAGAAAGCGAGGAUCGAAAUCGAUACAAACAUUGGUUUAGACAGGUUAAUAGAUGAACAGGAUGCUAAAAAUCUUCCUUACCUCCAAUGCAUCAUAUCAGAGAUUUUUCGACUUUACCCGGCAGCUCCUUUACUUGCUCCACAUAGGGCAACAGAUGAUUGUAUAGUUGGAGGCUACGACUUCCCUCGUGGCACAACGUUAAUCGCGAACGUAUGGGCCAUUCACCGAGACCCAAACAUAUGGGAAGAGCCAGAAAAGUUCAAGCCAGAGCGGUUCGAGAAAAAAAGGAGAAGAACAAAAGUUGAUGCCAUUUGGGAUGGGACGACGAGCUUGUCCCGGGUCUGGUCUAGCUCAACGGGUCGUGAGUUUAGCUCUCGGAUCGAUGAUUCAAUGUUUUGAAUGGGAGAGAGUUGGAGAAGAAUAUAUUGACCUAAGCGAAGCAACAACAAUGCGUCCAGCGACACGGUUGCUGGCCAUGUGUAGAGCUCGUCCUAUUGUUCAUAAGAUUCUCAAUGCUUCUUUUUGAGAUGUCACUCCCUUUUUAAAACUAUGUAUAUCCAUUUAUGUUAUAUCCAUUUUGAGAUGUAAUUAAAAUGAAAGACAAAGACUAGUUUUUGAUUUGCCUUAAGAUUUUCCAUUUUAUUAAAAUUCAAAAACUAUUUUUUUUUUCAACAACCAAAAUUUAGAAGUUAAAGGCUACUCCAUUAUCAAAUAAACUCACUUCUAAAAUUUUAAAAUUAUGAAUGAGGAGUAGUUUUUUACUUUGAGAAAGUGUGAAGAAAUUUGUCCAAUUUGUCCAAUUUCUUUAGUUUUUGUUUUUUUUUUUGGAAAAAGGGUUAAGAAAAAGGAGCUUAUGGAAUCUCUCAUGCAAUUAUUCCCACCUGUCACUAGAGAUAUGUUCGUAACUUCGUAACGUCUCAUGCAAUUACUGACUAAUAAACAUGUGUGAUAAGUCACCAUUAAUAUUUAUUGUCUAUUUCUUUUGCUUUUAAUUAUUAGGGUUUUAAUUUGAGUAGAGAAAUUUGUUUCUUUCUAAUAUAAUAGACAACUUGGUGUUUAGUCCGCGACUUACGCGGACCGAAAAGUUUUAUUGAAAUCUAAAAUAAAAUUUUAUGUCAUAAAUCAAAAAUAAUUAGAUCAAGAAUUUGAUACAUACAAAAGUAAAAUAAAGCUAACCUAAAAAAGUAAUCAUUGUCUAACAUUAAAACUUUAAAAUCAGUACUAAUAAGUGUAUGAAAUCAAUAAACACAAACUAAAAUAAAAUUAAUAUGAAUUAUUCAUCUUUUUCUCUUUUUAUUUUUUUAAUUUUUUUUCUUUACCAUUUUCUUUUUUUUUCUUUUUUUUGUUUUUUUUGUUUUUUUUCUUCUUCACUUUCUAUGUCUUUUUUUUUACUUUAUAUUCUGCUGAUUUUUCUUUUUCACGUUUUCUUCUUCUUCUCCACAUCUUUUCCUUUUUCCUCUCAUACAUCUUUUGAUUUUCUUCUCUUCCAGGUUUUAUUUCUUUUCUUCUUCUUCUUCAAUGUUUUAUUAUUCUCUUUCUUCUUCUUUUUUCUUUUCCUUUUUCAUUGCCAUCGUCUUCUUCGUUAUCAUCAACUUUCUAUUCUUCUAGUGUUUUUCGGCUUUUAACUCAUCUUCAUAUUCUUCUACUUUCUCCAAUUCCUCAUCUUUUAAGGUUUUCAUCUAAUUUUUUCUCUUCCCUAUCUUCUUCUUCUACUACUUUGUCUUCUAUUUUAUUUUUUUUUCUCCUUCAUCAGACUCUUAUUCCUCUUCUUCCAAUUAUUCUUCCUCUCUCUAAAUUCUUCAUCAUAUUUUAAAGAUCUUUGUCUUAUCUGUCUUUUUACUUCUCUCAUGGUUUAUAUUUUCUCUUUUUUAGUUUUUUCCUUAUAUUUUUAGGUCUUUUUUAUCGUUAUUUGUUUUCAAAUUGUUUUCCAAGUUUUAAAUUUUCGUUAUUUCCUAUUUUAAAUAUUUUUGAUUAAAUUUCGAUUUUUAAUAAUUAUUAUUAAAUUUAAAUGUUUUUUGAUUAAAUUUCGAUUUUUAACAGUUUUUUUAUUAAUUUACGAUUUUUAAUAUUUUUAUUUAAUUACGAUUUUUAAUAUUUUUAUUUAAUUACGAUUUUUAAUUUUUUAAAAAUUAAUUUACAAUUUUAAUAAUUUUGUUAUUAAAAUUAAUUUAAAAAUAUAAGAAAGAGUAAAAGGUAAUUAGCCAUCCUAAAAUUGAAUGAGAGAACUUUAACUCAAAAUUUUAAUUUGCUUAUAUGAUAUAUGAUAUAUGAUGAUGAUAUAUAUUACUAGCGUUUACGUUUUUUAUUUUGGUUCAAAACAUAGUGGUUAAAAAUAAACAAAUCAUAAAGUUUUAUUAUUAGUCAUUAAUGAAUGAGAGACGUUACGAACAUAUCUUUAGUUUAUUAAAAAAAAAAGAUAUCUUUAGUGACAGGUGUGAUAAUUGCAUGAGAGUUUUCAUUAUAAACUAAGCUACCUAAAACUAAUAACUCCCACGUUCGAUUCAACACAUUUACAACAAGAAGAAGUUCUUAAUCUAAAAUGGAAACUUAUUUUCUUAUUUUAUCCCUCGCCAUCUUCUUUUUCAUUUCUCUUAAACUUUUGUUUGAUAAACCGCAUAACAAGUUUAACCUACCACCAAGUCCGGCGAGGCCACUACCGUUGAUUGGACACCUUCACCUCUUGAAGCAGCCUCUCCACCGCACAUUCCUAUCCUUCUCUCAAUCUCUCGACAGUGCUCCAAUUUUCUCCCUCCGCCUCGGAAACCGUCUCGCCGUUGUCGUCUCCUCCUACUCCAUCGCCGAAGAAUGCUUCACGAAAAACGACAUCGUUUUGGCUAACCGGCCAGACUCCAUAGUCGGGAAAUACAUUGAGUACAACUUCACCACUGUGACCAGUGCGCCUUAUGGUGACCACUGGCGAAACUUGCGGCGUCUCAGCACCCUCGAGAUCUUCUCCUCGCACAAGCUCAAUGGCUUUUUAUCUGUCCGUAAGGACGAGAUCCGACACUUGCUACUUCGUCUCUCCAAAAACUCCCAGCAUGUAUGUGACCUUGUACAUAACUUGAAGAUUGUACUCUAUAAACAUUAUCAGAGUUUGUAACCUAGUAGUGUGUCUUAGUGUGGCCACUAGGUCAUAACCUGAGUCCGUGCAACACAAGUUUGAGAAUUGAUUAUUUUUUUAUUUGAUUAUAUAUUAGGGGUUUGCGAAGGUGGAGAUGAGAUCAUUGUUUAUGGAUUUGACUAUCAAUAAUAUACUCAGAAUGAUGGCCGGGAAAAGAUUUUAUGGUGAUGGAACAGAGCAAGACGACAAUGCACUGCGAGUGAGACAGCUGAUUGACGAGGUGGUAUCCUAUGCCGGAGCCGGGAAUGCUACCGAUUAUAUCCCAAUCUUGCGUUGGAUCACAAGUUUUGAGAAACGGGUUAAGAACUUAGCGGGUCGGGUCGAUGAGUUCUUGCAGAGCCUGGUGGAUGAAAAACGUGCAGAUAAAGAAAAGGGCGACACUAUGAUGGAUCACUUGCUUUCUCUCCAAGAAAUCCAACCUAAUUAUUACACAGAUAUCACUCUUAAGGGAAUCAUAGUUGUAAGUAUUUAUUUUUUCAACAUUUCUUAAUCUUGAAUAAUCUAUUUAAUAUAUAACAACACAAACUAAACUUUUGUUAAUUUAAUUUUUACAGGUUAUGAUACUUGCUGGAACUGAAACACUUACAGGAACAUUAGAAUGGGCUAUGUUGAAUUUGUUGAAUCAUCCAGAGGUAUUAAGGAAAACAAGAACAGAAAUCGAUACCAAAAUCGGUUUCGACCGGUUUAUUGAUGAACAAGAUAUUAAAAAUCUCCCUUAUCUCCAAGGGAUUGUGUUGGAGACCUUACGCCUCCACCCGGUAGCUCCUACACUUGUUCCACAUAUGACUUCAGAUGAUUGCAUUUUAGCUGGAUACGACGUUCCUUGUAGAUCGAUGCUAUUGGUGAACGUAUGGGCCAUGCAUAGAGACCCGUCUCUAUGGGAAGAUCCAGAAAUGUUCAAGCCAGAGAGGUUCGAAAAUGAAAAGGAAAAUCAAAAGGUGUUGUCGUUUGGGAUUGGACGUCGAUCAUGUCCCGGGGUUGGAUUAACUCAUCGGCUAGUGAGCUUGGCUCUUGGAUCUAUGGUUCAAUGUUUCGAUUGGGAGAGAAUUGGAGAAGAAUAUAUUGACACUAGAGAGGCACCUAUGAUGCGUCCAGCUACCCCUUUGCAAGCCAUGUGUAAAACUCGUCCCAUUGUCCAUAAGAUUCUCGACGCUUUUGCUUGAAUUGUAACUCUUCUUGGUUUUCUUUUAUGUUGGGAAAUAGUGUAUAAUUUUGUUGAAUUUUCGAUAUAUAUAUGAGUUCUCGUUUUUUAGGAUUAAGUAGACUAUAUAUAUAAAUUGGACUAUUGAUCGAUGUAUGAAUUGUUUUAACUUUUUUUUGUUAUAACUUUUAAGUUGAGAUACCCAUGUAAAAGACUCCCAACGGAAGUGUUCUUACGUAAUUAGAUUUUUGGUUCUAUAUAUAAUAUAGGCUCGGAUUUUUCUUUUGUUUUUUUGUUUUUGUUUCCGGUAUAGAACUUAACAAUUGUAGGACCGUUCAUGAAUAUAAUAGACACUAAAUCAACAGAUGGGUUGGAAUAUUUGAGGUAUGAAUUAUGAUAUUCCUUCCAUUUUAUUAAUUCAUUAGAAAUGCCGGGGUUUUCAUCAGUAAUAAAGGAUAAUUUAAUUUUUGUUUUACCCUUUAUUAAUUCACUAUUUAAUGAACAAGUUUAACAAAAAUCUGCACUGAAAAUAUAAAAUAAUACUUAAAAUAAAAAAUUAUAAGUAUUAAACGACACUUAAUAUAAAACAGAGAGAAUAAUAAACUUGGUUCUUUCAGUUACAUCUAUGUGAGAUUGGUAAAUGAUUUAUGUUACUGGCAUGGUAUAUGGGUUUCGACUAAGUCCAUUAUUUUUGUCCAUUAGCUUGGCUGAUCUAUGGGAUGCAUGAAGCUUAACAGAACCCACAAAAUCAAAUAAAAAUCAAUUUAUAGCCUCUAAAAGAAAGGGAUUUCGUACAUUUCCUAAAACUGUGAAAACAUUAUGCCAUAGGCCCAUAGUGAAUAUGCGGACACUGUCGCGAAACAAACACUCAACAAUUUCAGUAGAUCGAUUGCCUUAUAUAAUCAAACGCGUUCCUCAAUCUUUUUGAUAAUACAGAACAGCUUCCACAGUUGGGAAAUAACUCAAAAUCCUUCUAAGAACGCUCUCAUGCAAACUGCUGAAUUUAUCUUCAAGAUUCUGAUCACCAAUAAAUUUAUCUAGAUGUGUCGUUGCGGAAAAUGAGAUCGUCACUAAAUGUUAUCAUUUUGUCUUCGAAUACACUGAUUAUGUUGCCCUGAUACAGUUGAAAAAAAAAACACUAGAGGCACUCAAAUAAAAAAAGUUCAUAGCUUUAAAAUUUCUUGUAUAUUUUGAAAAUAAAAUUAAACUAAAUUGCUUAUACUUAUAUUUCCAUUUCUCUACAGUAUGAUCUAAUGAUUUUUGCAAUCCUCUAUGCUUUUAUUGUUGCAAUACUUAUAUUUCUUGUAAGUUUUGCAAUCCUCUACAUAUCAUUCUUCCCACAGCACUAUCUGAAGAUUCCAUCUGUGUUCAACUUAUCUUCCUGUUUGUGAAUUGUGUAUUAGAUUUGUACCUUACGUUUUUUUUUUUAAUAUCUUGAAGUGCUCUAGAAGUAUAAUUAUGAUAUCAUGUUGGAUUUUUUCAGAAUUUUUCUGAAGCCACUAAAUUUUGUUUUUGUUUUAUAUAUAUUUUGUAAAAAAUUAGAGAGUGAUGUGUUUCUAGGGACAAAAGACGAAGACUUGAAAAAUCAACCUUGGUGUUUUUCCUUCUUGUCCCAUUAAAAAUCUCAGUUUUCUCUUCCUCAGAAUCCUCUUCACAUCGACCACAGGUUUCUUCAUCCAUCGACUUAUUGAAAUUUCUUGUUGUAUAAGUUAAACCAAAAUGUGUGGAAACUGACUAUUCAACACAAAAGACUUUUCACUCUCUUCGUUCAACGUGAAUAACACUUCGUAGCAAAUUACUAGAUGGUGAGCCAAGCGAAGCUGAGUGGAAAUGGAGCACUGACUAUAUGUAUAUAAAGAGAUGGCAUGAAACCAAAUUAACCAUCACAAUUUCCAUUUGCUCGCUUCUUUUUCACUAUUGAUUUUCAAGAAAGUUAAAAAUUAGCUUAAAGAAAUAACGAAAGGCUCUUGAAACUCAAUGAGUAACAUUCAUAUUUCUCUUUCUUUUCUCCUCUUGUUCGUUUUUUAUUUUCAUGACGUGUUUGCGUCUCCUACUAGACACUUGUGUCGUCCAGAACAAAGGGAUGCACUUCUCGAGUUCAAGAAUGAGUUUGAGAUUCGGAAGCCUUAUCCUGAUUUUCAGUGUUAUAUUAAAGGUCGCUGGGUAAACCCGUACCCGAAGACGGAGUCAUGGGCAAAUAACACUGAUUGUUGUUAUUGGGAUGGUAUCAAGUGCGAUGCCAAAUCUGGGGAAGUGAUCGAGGUAGACCUCAGUUGCAGCUGUCUCUACGGCAAGUUUCGUUCCAAUUCCAGUCUGUUUAGGCUUCAUAACUUUCGUUUUCUCACCACUUUAGACCUUUUAAAUAAUGAUUUACAUGGUCAAAUCCCGUUCUCAAUUGGAAAUCUUUCUCUUCUCACUUCUCUCAACCUUUCUUUUAAUCGGUUUUUGGGUCAAAUUCCAUCUUCAAUUGGAAAUCUUUCACAGCUCACCUCUCUCAAACUUUCUUCCAAUCAGUUUUCGGGUCAGAUUCCAUCUUCAAUUGGAAAUCUUUCACUUCUUACCUCUCUUGAUCUUUCUUUCAAUCAGUUUUCGGGUCAGAUUCCAUCUUCAAUUGGAAAUCUAUCACUUCUUACCUCUCUCGACCUUUCUCUUAAUCAGUUUUCGGGUCAGAUUCCAUCUUCAAUUGGAAAUCUUUCACAGCUCACCUCUCUCAAUCUUUAUUCCAAUCAGUUUUCGGGUCAGAUUCCAUCUUCAAUUGGAAAUCUUCCACUUCUUACCUCUCUUGAUCUUUCUUCCAAUCAGUUUUCGGGUCAGAUUCCAUCUUCAAUUGGAAAUCUUUCACAGCUCACCUCUCUCUAUCUUUCUUCCAAUCAGUUUUCGGGUCAGAUUCCAUCUUCAAUUGGAAAUCUUUCAUUUCUUACCUCUCUUGAUCUUUCUUCCAAUCAGUUUUCGGGUCAGAUUCCAUCUUCAAUUAAAAAGCUCUCUCAUCUCAAAACUCUUUUCCUCCGUCGUAACAGACUCACUGGUGAAAUCCCAGAUUCUUUUGCCAGUUUGAAAAUUUUGACCAACUUAGAUGUUAGUUACAAUAAGCUUAGUGGUAACUUUCCAAUUUCCCUUCUAAAUUUGACAGAGUUGUCGUAUUUAUCACUCACUUCCAAUCAACUCACAGGAACGCUUCCCUCAAACAUUAGCUCACUCUCCAACUUGGUGAAUUUUUACGCAAGUGACAACGAUUUCGUUGGAACCAUUCCUUCUUCUCUCUUCACCAUUCCUUCUUUGACAAAAAUUUAUUUGUCAAAUAACCAACUCAACGGCACUCUUGAGUUUGGGAAUAUACCUUCACCAGCAAAGCUCGAGGAAUUAAUGCUUGGCGGUAACAACUUGAGAGGGCCAAUCCCGAGAUCCAUUUCCAAAUUAGUCAACCUCUAUUACCUUGACCUUUCCAAUUGGAACACCCAAUUAGGCCCAAUUGACUUGAGUAUCUUCUCGCAUCUCAAGUCACUCCGAAUUCUUGACUUAUCCCAUUUGAACACCACCACUACGAUUGACUUGAAUGCCAUCUUAUCAUGUUCUCAGUUGCUGGAAACAUUGGAUCUCUCAGGCAACCAUGUUUCAGCCGAAAACAAGAGCUCAGUUUCAGAUCCUCCUUCGCAAAUGAUACGAGAAUUAAACUUGUCAGGCUGCGGUAUUACCGAAUUUCCAGAGAUCAUAAGAACCCAGCAGUCAAUGAGGAGUCUAGACAUUGCCAACAACAAAAUCAAAGGUCAAGUGCCUGGCUGGUUAUGGACUCUACCAAAUCUGACGUACGUGAAUCUUUCCAACAACACUUUCGUCAGUUUCGAAAGACCAACGAAACAUGGACUAUCCUCUGCCGUGGAGUACUUGUCUGGCUCCAGAAACAAUUUCACAGGAAAGAUUCCCUCCUUCAUAUGCGCGUUGGGCUCUCUAAGCGUUCUCGAUUUAUCUGAAAACAACUUCAAUGGUUCAAUCCCUCUUUGUAUGGAGAAUCUCAAGAGUAAUCUUUCGGUUCUAAACCUCCGUCAGAAUCAUCUUAUCGGAGGCCUUCCGGAGAAUGUAUUUGAAAGUCUAAGGUCCCUUGACGUUGGUCAUAACCAACUGCUGGGAAAGCUUCCAAGAUCUUUGAUCCAUUUCUCUGCCCUUGAAGUUCUUAAUGUGGAAAGCAAUAGAAUCAACGACACGUUUCCGUUCUGGUUGAGUUCUGUACAAAACCUGCAAGUUCUUGUCUUACGCUCCAAUGCAUUCCAUGGACCGAUUCAUCGAGCCUCCUUCCUUCAGCUGAAAAUCAUCGACAUCUCGCAUAAUCAUUUUAACGGAGUUUUACCAUUAGAUUAUUUUGUGAACUGGAGUGGAAUGUCAUCACUUGGGACAAACGAAGAUCAAUCGAUUUACAUGGGAGAAGAUAGCUAUUACCACGAUUCAAUGGUUUUGAUGAAUAAAGGUGUAGAGAUGGAGCUGGUACGUAUCCUAAAAAUCCUCACAGCACUCGACUUCUCUGGAAACAGGCUUGAAGGUGAGAUUCCAAGCUCCAUUGGCCUACUGAAAGAGCUUCACGUGCUCAACUUGUCAAACAAUGCUUUCACUGGCCACAUACCAUCAUCUAUGGGGAACCUGACAGCUCUCGAGUCACUUGACGUUUCUCAAAACAAGCUUUCAGGAGUGAUCCCACAAGAGCUAGGGAAUCUCUCGUACCUUGCGUACAUGAACUUCUCCCACAACCAACUGGAGGCACUCAGUUUCGAACGCAGCCUUGCUCUUCCUUCGAACACAACUCUGGACUUUUUGGCCCUGCUCUUGACGAAGUUUGCAAAGAUAUCCACAAGCCAUCAUCGCAAGAGUAUAAAACACCAGAGGAGGCAGAGGAAGAAGACGAAGAAGUGUUUAGUUGGAUUGCAGCUGCAAUAGGAUUUGGACCUGGCAUUGUAUUUGGACUGACGAUUGGAUUCAUACUGGUUUUAUACAAACCGAGGUGGUUCACGAGUCCUUUUGGUCGAAACAAACGCAGAAGCAGAAGCACCACAACUCAUUAAGAGAGGUAAUGUUUUGAAUUUGAUAGAUUAAAGACUAUUGUAUAGUAUAAUGAAUUUUUCUGGGUUAAUGUAUACUGUAUGUGAAAAUUAACGCUGUUUUUGUUUGUAUAGCGUUCUUAAACCCAAGAUGAAGAAUCUUUGAAAAACAGAAUGAAGCAACCAGACCAUAGGUAGAGAAGAAGCUUGGGGGAGAAGGCAACUCAUUUUAUCAAAGUCUAAAUAUCAGUGAUUGUUUUUGGUUUAGUUUGGUGUGUUUAUCAUAUACUCUGUUUUUAGCCAAUGUUUGUGUUUCUCUGUAAUUGAACAAUGAAAGAUUGUUUACAAAGCUCAAACUUAUUCUUAUUUAUUAGAUAAACAUGAUUUGAGAGAGGUAAUAAUGUUCUUGCUCCGACUAAAUCAAUUAUUCUUCUGCCAAAUGAAGAACUAAGAUUCAACACACAUCUCAGAACAUUGAUCCUUAUUCUCUUUUGGUAAUAUUAAUUAGCUGAGUAAAAUGAUAACUUACUUAGCUUAUUGACAGAUAUUUCACUUAGCAGAUAGAUAUAUUAGUUAGCUGCGAUCAAGAUCACCGACCAGUUAAAGCUAUAGAUAUACAGGCUUAAAACCCAAGCUUUGCCAUCAGAAUGAGAGAAAAAAAAUCAUCUCACAAAUCAUUCCACUUUCCAACUACUGAAACUCUUCAAUAGUCAAAUGACUCAAAUCUGAAUAAGAGAGUAUACAUACACACAUACUUAAGUCCUAAAUCUUGUUUAUAAAUGUAACAAAAAUAACCCAUCAUUUUUAACCAAAAACAUUGAACGAAGAAAUUACCCUAUGUUUAUCUGAUAUGAUUGUGAUGUAUCUGCCAUCACCAAGUCCUAAAUCUUGUUUAAGGUGAUUAACGAACCAUCCCCAGUUGAUGUCGUUUUCGAUCUCCACUACUGCCCACGCUAUAGGAACAAUUCUAUUAUCUCCAUCCCUUCCAACUGCAGCUAUCAAUAGGCCUUUAACAUCCCAUUUAAGGAAUGCACCAUCUAGUCCUAUGAUAGGUCUGCAAUGUGUUUUCCAAGUGACUCGUUGUGCUUCAAAACAGACAUAAAUACGAUCAAACCUUUGCUUGCUUCCGGGUGUUGGCCCUGGAAUAGUCUGAAUAUCCAUAAUGGUUCCUUUAUUAGUCUUAUGAAUCUCUGCUUCGUAAUCCCAGAUUCGAGCAAAAUGUGUUCCAUGGCCUGCUCGUCUUUGCCUAGUAAUUUUGGUCUAAAUUACUAGGCUAGGUCAGUAUCUAAUUUGGCUAGGUCAAUAUAAGUUCGGGUGUUUUUUGGCUUAUUACAAAGUUUGUAUUUUUUUUUGGCAAAAUCAUAUAAGUUUGGUAUUUAGAUGACCGAUUUCCCUACACACAUACUUAAGGGUCACGAUGACAAAAUCUUCGGUUUAACCAAUAAGAGUAUUCAUCAAAAGACAUCUUAUAAACCAAUGGAUUAUAUUUUAAAAACUUGGUGAAAACAAACAAGAAAUUUAUCAAUAAAAUACAAGAACACUGGGUCAAUAACUGCUUAAUUCUUUUUUUUUUUUAAAAAAACAAAAGGUAAAUGAUGCAAUUGAUAGUAUAAUCUACACUACUCUAUACUCCACUGUUUUACUUUUUUUAUUUUAAGUACACAACUUUUUGUUAUUUUUUAUUCUUGGGAGAUGUAUAUCCUAUAAACAAAACUGUGUUAAAUGGAAGGACUUGAUAGACACCAAAACCAGAAGAGAAACGAAAACAAACGGCUCAAACUUGACAGUAUAAAAUAUCUACUGUUAAAACAUCAUCCAAAAUUUAUAAAUUAACGAUUGAGAAAUAUUUUGAUAAAAAAUAUAAUUCGAUAAUAUUGAUCAGAUUACAGCAUCACAAAGUCAGUGAACAAAUCAUAUAAAACAAACUUGAAUAAAGAAAAUUGUAUCAUGCCAAUUGCCAAAAGAAACCAAACAAAUAAAUAGAUAACAGAAAGUAGAAACAUUGACUGACCGAUUACUAAGUUCUGGACAAAAGACGAAGACUUGAAAAGUCAACUUCAGUCUUCUUCCUUAUUGUCCCACCAAUAAUUUUACUUUUUCUCCUUCAAUCUCAUCUUCUUCCUCAAUCCUCUGAACAUCGACCACAUGUUUCUUCAUCCAUUGACCUCAAAUACUUGAUUUUCACUAUCGACUCUCUUUCUUUCUCUCUCUCUCUAGAUUUUCCGUCAAAGCUAUGGAGAAACUCUGUCUUCGAAACUCUGUUUCUCUCAUGACGAUGGUGGUUAUUGUUCUUCUUCCUCGUUGCACUCUUUCUACUACUUCUACAUAUUCUCGUCCCGAGAAGUUGUACGUCAACUGUGGGUCGGAUUCUAAUGUCACUUACGGUAACCGGACUUUUGUCGGAGAUAUGAUCUCUGGUGGUAACUCCGUUUCAUUCACCAAGAAAGGAACUGAAGCCAUCAACCAAUCAGGAUCAGGAAUCUACGAAAUGGUUAGGAUAUUCACAAGCCCUUCUUCUUACAAGUUCCAACUCGAUUCCGUUGGUCUGCACUUCGUGCGUCUCCAUUUCUCUGCUGUCUCUUCUCGGACACAGCUUUUAGCUGCUCGUUUCACAAUCUCAGCUACUUCUCACUUGAAAAGUUUCUCGCUUCAGAAUUUCAAUGAGACCCCACGAGUUGAGGAGUUUCUCCUGAUGAUUGACUCGCCGGAAUUCGAAAUUCGAUUUGUGCCCGAUCAUUCAUCCAUGGCUUUCGUCAACGCCAUCGAAGUGUUCUCUGCUCCAGAUGACCUAGAAAUUCCGUCAGACUCCGACAAGAAUCUGCAUACGGUUUACAGAUUAAACGUAGGAGGCAAGAAGAUCACACCAGAAAACGACACCUUGGGAAGAACUUGGUCAUUAGACGAUGACUUCCUCUACGAAAAAGAUUCUGCGAGGAACAUUAACUCAACACAAAAGCCUAACUAUGAGUCAGGAACAGUGACGCAAUUCACUGCUCCUGAUUUCGUCUAUCAGACAGCUAAAACGAUGAACCAUAGCUCGAACGAGGGGGUGGUAGAGGGAAUGUUGAUGAACGUCACUUGGUCAUUUAAGGUCAAAAGCAGCUCAAGACACUUCAUCAGGGUUCACUUCUGUGAUAUCAAGAGUGAAUCACAAAAUCCCGACUCCGAUUUCUAUCUCUAUGUAAACGGACAAUCACGACUAGAUGUAAAGCCUUCAGAGCGUAUUAGGUUGGUGACUCCGUUUUUCAAAGAUGUGAAUGUCUCUGAUGGUUUUGGACUCUUGAAUGUUACAAUAGGUACUAAGGAUUCCACUAAGGAUGCUGGUUUUCUGAAUGGUCUGGAGGUGAUGGAGUUUUUGAAAAAGUCAGAUUCUUCAGAUAAAAGUAGUUUCCGGGUUUACAUCAUUGCUGGCUGUGUUGUUGCUGCAUCGGUUCUGGUAUUGAGUUUGUUGUUCACAGUUUUCUUGAAGCGGAGGAGAUUGAAGAAGGAAAAGAAGUUAGACGCUGAGGUCACUGAAUGGUCUCCUUUGCCAUUGUACAGAGGUGGUGGGAGUUCCGACAAUAGACCUUCUGAUCCGGUCAACAAUUCUCCAUUACGCAGCAAUAGAACUUUUGAUCCGGUCAACAAUUCGCCAUUACGCAACCUAAACUUAGGCUUGACCAUUCCCUUCAUAGACAUUAUGAGAGCUACAAACAAUUUCGACGAGCAGUGGUUGAUCGGGAGAGGCGGUUUCGGAGACGUUUACAAAGCCAUUCUUCAAGAUGGAAGCAAAGCGGCUAUCAAGAGAGGCAAGAGUGGUUCAGGACAAGGAAUAUUGGAGUUUCAAACAGAGAUUCAAGUCCUGUCGAGAAUCCGGCACAGGCACCUCGUUUCUCUAACGGGUUACUGCGAAGAGAACUCGGAAAUGAUCCUUGUCUACGAGUUUAUGGAGAAAGGUACGCUUAAGGAGCAUCUAUAUGGCUCGGAUUUGCCUUCACUGACAUGGAAACAGAGACUAGAGAUCUGCAUCGGAGCAGCCAGAGGUUUGCAUUAUCUCCACAGUGGCUCAGAAGGAGCAAUCAUUCACAGAGAUGUCAAAUCCACAAACAUACUACUAGACGAGAACACCGUAGCCAAAGUUGCCGAUUUCGGGCUCUCAAAACUCGCGGUUCGUAAUCAAGAUCCGAUUAAUAUCAGCACUAACAUCAAAGGAACAUUCGGUUACCUCGAUCCUGAGUAUCUGCAGACACACAUCUUGACGGAGAAAUCAGAUGUUUACGCUUUUGGAGUCGUUCUCCUCGAGGUCUUGUGCGCGAGAUCGGCUCUCGAUCCUUCUCUUCCUCACGAGGAAGUGAAUCUAGCCGAGUGGGCGAUGUUCUGCAAAUCCAAAGGGAUAAUCGAUGAGAUCUUAGAUCCGAAAUUGAUAGGUCAGAUCGAGCCGAGUUCGUUGAGGAAAUACAUGGAAAUCGCGGAGAAGUGUUUGAAAGAGUACGGAGACGAGAGGCCGAGCAUGGGGGAUGUGAUCUGGGAUCUGGAGUAUGUUCUUCAGCUUCAGAUGAUGCCGAUUCGCAGAGAGCCUCAUGAGGAUAGCGCCGCGACGAUCUCCGGCGGCGGAGGCGAAAGCUCGUUGGUGAUUCCGAGGUUGAUGGUGAGUGAUUCGUUUAGCUCAAACUCGAUUGUUCAGAAGAACGAAGGGAAGAGCAGCUAUGGAGGUACAGAUUCAUCGGAGAGUCGAGUUUUCUCCCAAUUGAAGAUCUCCGAAGCAAGAUAAAACGUUCUGAUUUGAAAAGCGUCUGGUUUAAAGCUUUUGAUAUUAAAAACCGGUUAUUGCCGGUUUAAAUUUAUUCAUUUAAAACAGAUGCAAAGUAAACUAGUCAAGGGACUGUAAUAUAAAAAUUAAAACUCGGUUAUCUUCGGUUUAAAGUUAAUUAUUCUAAGACAGAUGCAAAUUUCCGAAUCGAAAAUACAAAUCAAUUUGAUUAACCGAUAAAAACCUAAUUUCAAGAAAAAUUCUGAUUUGAUAAGUCUGGUGUAGUGUAAUUUUUGAGAUUGAAACCCGCCAGUUUAAAGAUAAUUAUUAAGUAACGAGUCAGUUGACUGAAUAUGAAAUAUAAACCCGGUUAUCUUCGGUUAAAAACUAACUAUUCUACGACAAAUGCAAAUAUCUUUACGAAAAACAAGUCAAUUUAAUUAACCGAUAAAACCUAAUUUCAAGAAAAGUUCUGAUUUGAUAAGUGACUGGUUUAGUUUUUGAAAUUAAAACCCGGUUACUGCCGGUUUAACGAGUCAACUGAUUGUGAUGUCGGCGAUGAACGAAUCCAGAUUCCGAGCCGAUGAUCCACCAGGCGCCAACGCCGAUCUCGCCGCGUACUUCAGCUCCGUCGCUCUCCUCCUCAUAUCCGCGGCGGCGGAUCCUUCCGUCACGGCCUCAAUACAUCUCUCCACCUCUUCAACCUUAAGCUCUCCGUCAACGGUGUCGUUCCUCAUCCUCACUCCGAUCCCGAACACAUCCACAAGCAAUCUCGUGUCAAGCGGCUGAUCAAUCCAGCUCGGAUACGCCACCACCGGAACACCAGUCACCACCGUCUCGACCGUCGAGUUCCAGCCGCAGUGCAUGACGAAACAAGAUAUCGCCACGUGGCUCAGUAUCCUCUCUUGUGGACCCCACUCAAUCACAAUACCUUGACCUUCUUUAACCAUCUCCUGCAAAACGUCGACGUUUUCGCCUUUCUCCUUUGGCCUAAUCACCCAGAGAAACGAAACUCCUCUGUUUCUCAGAGCCGUUGCUAUGCUCUUAACUUGAGUCUCCGAAGAUUUCAGCAAACUUCCAAAAGAAAUGUAAACAACCGAAGUAAGCCACUCCAUACUAUACUCAUCCGAUUUCCACAUAUCAAGAUUUUUACCAUCUAGGGUUUUGUCUUCUUCAUCAGCUCCCAACAGAAAUGGAGAAACCAGAGGACCAAUUGGGAUCAUGGGUUUUAAACCAGACAUCGAUUCGAUUAUCUCUGAUUCGAGCUCGUAGAACGAAUUAACCAAAACCCAUUUCACAUCUUUCAAGCAAUCGACGAACUCCACCAUUAGGCUAUUGAAAUGACUUCCUGAAGAAGGCAACAGAAACGAAGGGAGAUCUCCGACUUCCAGCAAUGGUAAACCUGGCAAUUCAACCGUUUGAUUCAAAUCUUCGAGAUUCUCGGGGAAAGCGUUCGUCUUCAUGUAGUAACGGUAAUAAACGGAGAAAGCUCCACAAGCUUCGAUCCAGAGGAUUGCACAGGGGAUGUUAUAUGCAGCUGCAACACCUGGANNNNNNNNNNNNNNNNNNNNNNNNNNNNNNNNNNNNNNNNNNNNNNNNNNNNNNNNNNNNNNNNNNNNNNNNNNNNNNNNNNNNNNNNNNNNNNNNNNNNNNNNNNNNNNNNNNNNNNNNNNNNNNNNNNNNNNNNNNNNNNNNNNNNNNNNNNNNNNNNNNNNNNNNNNNNNNNNNNNNNNNNNNNNNNNNNNNNNNNNNNNNNNNNNNNNNNNCAGUGACGAUGCAAGAGAAUCUCUUUGAUUCGACGAUUUUAGACAAGUUCUUGGCUCCUACUUUUCUCAACGAUGGUAUGAGAGAAUCCGCACCUCCUGUGUGGUCUUUAGGCAGACCGUCGGAGAAGAAAGCAAGGUCCACUAGGCUAUGGUGAUGUUCUUUGUCUGCGGUGGUGGCUGCGGUGGAGAGGAGGUCACGGGUUUUCUCGGUGGUGGCGAGAGUGAAUCGGAGGUUCGGUCUUGAGAGAUGUUUGGCGAAUUUGAGCAUUGGAUUAAGAUGAUCUUGAAAUGGUAGUGCUACCAAUAGAACAUGUGUUUCUUGACCCUCACUAUUUCUCAUUUCUGCUUUGUUUAGAGGUGUUACUUAUUAGACUUGAGUUGUGUAUGAGAUUGUGUGUAACUUGUAAUUGUGGUGGUAUAUAUAACAAUGGUUGCUUAACGAUAGAUUUUUGCUUAAAAUGAAGUUAUUAAGUGAGAUUUUGGUAAGAAAAAUCUAUAUAUAGUAAAAAUUGGUAACCCAAUAAAAUGUUGUUGAAUAGAUUCAAAAGUUACCACGUUUAUUAGCACUCUGCGCCUUGUCCUUAACUCAAUUCAAAUCUUGUAUAAUUGUUGACAAAAAAAACACGAUAUAUAUACCAAUUCUAGUAUGGUUAAAGUCAACAGUCAUUACUAAUGAUUUAUGAAUCUUUUUGUAUAGUGUGACACUGAGAUCAUUGUAAUUUGUUAAUGACAAUCUAUAAACUGUAAUUGGUAAUCCAAUAAACGUUGGUCAAUAAAUUCAAAUUUAAUCAUGUGUUUCUAUGCUCUUGUAAAUAAAUAAAUAUAUGUUAUUUUCAAUUGUGUUAUGGUUAUGAUUAGAUUUAUAUAAAAAAUAUGGUUAUGAUUAGAUUUAUAUAAAAAAAAAAACAGGUCUCAAUUCAUUCGGAUCAGUCUCGUUUGUAUUUGUCUCACUUUUAGAUUUGAAAUCCGUUAAGCUCUAUUUAGUUUUUGGAACUAACAGAGUAAUCGGUUUAUACACGCCAAAAUUCUUUUAAUCUAUUUAAAACCAUUUACGAUAUGAUGCUUAAACAUUCUUAAUAUUUAUUUUAAAUUAUAUAAACUAAGCUUUUGGAAGCUAAUCAGAAGUUAACACACCAAUAUAAUUACCAUUGUUUUUUUAUUAAAUAAUAAUUACCAAUGUUUCAAGGCAUGCUUGAAUAUUCCACUAAGAAAAAUCAUCGAAAUUGUUUAUACUAAUCUAAAAUCCUAGCAAAGGUGGGUGAAUCUUUUUUUUUAAAAUAGUUAUACAUAUUUUCGAGAUGACAAAAUUUAACAAUAUGAUAAAAUCAUAUGGACACUCGAACAUUUAUGUAGAUUUAGUUAUGUUAUAUAUCCAAGAAGAAAUGAAUAAUAUUAAGUAACAUCUAUUACAAAUAACAUAUCAAUUGGUAACAUCAGAUGGCAAAUCAAAUAACAUCAUUACGUAGUAAAUUCAUAUGCAUGCGUUACUAGCUAAGCUUGUAUUCACUUUAUAAAAGAAAAUACAAAAUAGCAAUAGCAAUAAUGAAGGGAAGAGCAGCUACGGAGGUACAGAUUCAUUGAUCGAAGAGUCGAGUUUUCUCCCAAUUGAAGAUCUCUGAAGCAAGAAAACAAAUAAUCUCUUGAAUCCUUCUGAUUUAAAUACCGACUGGUUUUAACUUUUGAUAAUAAAAUCCGGUUAUUGCCGGUUUAAAUAUAAACAUUUUUUUAAGUCGACAAAAAAAAACAUUUCAAAACAGAUGUAAAGUGAGUCAACACUAUGAUCGAUGACUUUCUAGUUGAUGAGAAACGUGCACAAAAAGAAAAGGGUAACACUAUGAUCGAUCACUUGCUUUCUCUCCAAGAAACUCAACCAAAUUAUUAUACGGAUGUCAUCGUCAAAGGACUCAUAGUUGUAAGUAUUGAGGAAUACAUUUAAUACAUCACUAACAACUAACAAGGCUAACUAAGCUUUUUAUAAUGACUAAUUCUUGACUUCUAUUUGGAUAGGUUAUGAUAUUUGCUGGAAAUGUAACAUAAACAAGAACGUUAGAAUGGGCGAUGCUAAAUCUGUUGAACCAUCCAGAAGUACUAAAGAAAGCGAGGAUUGAAAUCGAUACAAACAUUGGUUUGGACAGGUUAAUAGAUGAACAGGAUGCGAAAAGUCUUCCUUACCUCCAAUGCAUCAUAUCAGAGAUUUUUCGACUUUACCCGGCAGCUCCUUUACUUGCUCCUCAUAGGGCUACAGAUGAUUGUAUAGUUGGAGGCUACGACUUCCCUCUUGGCACGACAUUAAUCGUGAACGUAUGGGCCGGCCAUUCACCGAGACCCAAACAUAUGGUAAGAGCCAGAAAAGUUCAAGUUAGAGCGGUUCGAGAAGAAAGGAGAAGAACAAAAGUUGAUGCCGUUUGGAAUGGGACGACGAGCUUGUCCCGGGUCUGGUCUAGCUCAACGGGUCGUGAGUUUGGCUCUCGGAUCGAUGAUUCAAUGUUUUGAAUGGGAGAGACUUGGAGAAGAAUAUGUUGACCUAAGUGAAGCAACCACAAUGCGUCCAACGACGCCGUUGCUAGCCAUGUGUAGAGCUCGUCCUAUUGUUCAUAAGAUUUUCAAUGCUUCUUUUUGAGAUGUCACUCCCUUUUUAAAAAAAUAUGUAUAUCCAUUUAUGUUAUAUCCAUUUUGAGAUGUAAUUAAAAUGAAAGACAAAGACUAGUCUUUGAUUUACCUUUAGAUUUUCGAUUUUAUUAAAAUUCAAAAACUAUUUUUUUUUUCAAAAACCAAAAUUUAGAAGUUAAAGGCUACUCCAUUAUCAAAUAAACUCACUUCUAAAUUUCUAAAAUUAUGAAUGAGGAGUAGUUUUUUUUUACUUUGAGAAAGGGUGAAGAAAUUUUUCCAAUUUAUUAGUUUUUUUUUUGUUGAGGAAGGGUUAAGAAAAGGGAGCUUGUUUUAUAAUAGAAUCUCUCAUGCAAUUAUUCCACCUGUCACUAGAGAUAUGUUCAUAACUUCGUAACGUCUCAUGCAAUUACUGACUAAUAAACAUGUGUAAUAAGUCUCCAUUAAUAUUGAUAGUCUAUUUAUUUUGCUUUUAAUUAAUAGGGUUUUGAGUAGAAAUUUGUUUCUUUCUAAUAUUAUAGACAAUAUAUAUUGCUAGCGUUUACGUUUUUGGUUUAAACCAUAGUGAUUAAAAAUAAACAAAUCAUAAAUUAUUAUUAAGGGUGACCUACACAUAUUUAUUAGUCAUUAAUGAAUGAGACGUUACGAACAUAUUUUUAGUUUAUUAAAAAAAAAAGAUAUCUUUAGUGACAGGUGUGAUAAUUGCAUGAGAGUUUUCAUUAUAAACUAAGCUACAUAAACUAAUAACUUCCAUGUUCGAUUCAACACAUUUACAACAAGAAGAAGUUCUUAAUCUAAAAUGGAAACUUACUUUCUAAUUUUAUCCCUUGCCAUCUUCUUUUUCAUUUCUCUAAAACCUUUGUUUGGUAAACGGCACAGCAAGUUUAACCUACCACCAAGUCCGGCAAGGCCACUACCGUUGAUUGGACACCUUCACCUCCUGAAGCAGCCUCUCCACCGCACAUUCCUAUCCUUCUCUCAAUCUCUCGACAGUGCCCCAAUUUUCUCCCUCCGCCUCGGAAACCGUCUCGCCGUUGUCGUCUCCUCCUACUCCAUCGCCGAAGAAUGCUUCACAGAAAACGACAUCGUUUUGGCCAACCGGCCAGAGUCCAUAGUCGGGAAAUACAUUGAGUACAACUUCACCACUGUGACCAGUGCGCCUUAUGGUGACCACUGGCGAAACUUGCGGCGUCUCAGUACCCUCGAGAUCUUCUCCUCGCACAAGCUCAAUGGCUUUUUAUCUGUCCGUAAGGACGAGAUCCGACACUUGCUACUUCGUCUCUCCAAAAACUCCCAGCAUGUAUGUGAGCUUGUACAUAACUUGAAGAUUGUACUCUAUAAACAUUAUCAGAGUUUGUAACCUAGUAGUGUGUCUUAGUGUGGCCACUAGGUCAUAACCUGAGUCCGUGCAACACAAGUUUGAGAAUUGAUAAUUUGUUUAUUUGAUUAUAAAUUAGGGGUUUGCGAAGGUGGAGAUGAGAUCAUUGUUUAUGGAUUUGACUAUCAAUAACAUUCUCAGAAUGAUGGCUGGGAAAAGAUUUUAUGGUGAUGGAACAGAGCAAGUGAGACAGCUUAUUGACGAGGUGGUAUCCUACGCCGGCGCCGGGAAUGCUACCGAUUAUAUCCCAAUCUUGCGUUGGAUCACAAGUUUUGAGAAACGGGUUCAAGAACUUAGCCGGGUAGGGUCGAAUGAGUUCUAGCAGAGCCCUGUGGAUUGAAAAAACGUGCGGAUAAAGAAAAGGGCGACACUAAUGAUGGAUCACUUGCUUUCUCUCCAAGAAAUCCAACCUAAUUAUUACACAGAUAUCACUCUAAAGGGGAUUAUAGUUGUAAGUAUUUAUUUUCUACAUUUAUUAAUCUUGAAUAAUCUAUUUAAUAUAUAACAACAUAAACUAAACAUCUGUUAAUUUAAUUUUUACAGGUUAUGAUACUUGCCGGAACUGAAACACUAAUAGGAACAUUAGAAUGGGCUAUGUUGAAUUUGUUGAAUCAUCCAGAGGUAUUAACGAAAGCAAGAACCGAAAUCGAUACCAAAAUCGGUUUUGACCGGUUAAUAGAUGAACAAGAUAUUAAAAAUCUUCCUUAUCUCCAAGGGAUUGUGUUGGAGACCUUACGUCUUCACCCUGUAGCUCCUACACUUGUUCCACAUAUGACGUCAGAUGAUUGCAUUUUAGCUGGAUACGACGUUCUUUGUGGGUCGAUGUUAUUGGUGAACGUAUGGGCCAUGCAUAGAGACCCGUAUAUAUGGGAAGAUCCAGAAAUGUUCAAGCCAGAGAGGUUCGAAAAUGAAAAGGAAAAUCAAAAGGUGUUGUCGUUUGGGAUUGGACGACGAUCAUGUCCCGGGGUUGGAUUAACUCAUCGGUUAGUGAGCUUGGCUCUCGGAUCGAUGGUUCAAUGUUUCAAAUGGGAGAGAAUUGGAGAAGAAUAUAUUGACACUAGAGAGGCACCUAUGAUGCGUCCAGCUACACCGUUACAAGCCAUGUGUAAAACUCGUCCCAUUGUCCAUAAGAUUCUCGAUGCUUUUGCUUGAAUUGUAACUCUUCUUGGUUUGAUUUAUGUUCGGAAAUAUUACAUCAACUUGUUUUGAGUUGGGAAAUAAUUCAAAAUCCUUCUAAGAACGCUUUCAUGCAAACUGUUGAAUGUAUCUUCAAGGUUCUGAUCACCACCUAGCUAAGUCUUUGCGGAAGAUCCUCACUAAAUAUUAUCAUUUUGCCUUCGAAUACAUUGAUGUUGUUGCCCUGAUACAGUUGAAAAAAAAAACAACUAUAGAGACACUCAAAUAAAAAAAAAGUUCAUAGCUUUAAAAUUUGAGAAAAUUUGAAAAAAAUACCUUAUCAUGAGUUUUUAAUUUGAAAAAUACACCAAUUUUUUUUUUUUUGAAAUCUACACUUAUUGAUAAGUAAAAUAACAAAAUUAACCAUAAUUUGAAAUUGAAGUAAUUUUUUAUUUAGAUUGUAAUAUAUUUUAAACAUAUAUAUAUGUAUAUAUAUUUAGAUAUUCUGCACAAAGAAUAUCUAGUUAGUUUCUAUUUUAUUUAACUUUAAUUACCAAACAAUAUUUUAAUUAAAAAAACGUUUUAACUCAAUUCAACGAGACUUCAGAUUCUGUAAAACACAGAUCACACUCAUUUGCACUCACGCCGUCAAAAUCACUAUUCACAAAUUGGUAGAUUUUUUUUCUUUCGUUCUUGAUUUAUAUUUGUCGUAGUAUUAUACUUCUUCUCUUUUUAUUCUCAAAAUGGUUUGUUUUGUUUUUUAUUUAUACAGAAAAAUGGUGCAUAUCGCUGGAGUUUUUGGUGAAUGGCAAGUGAAAAAAGAAUCAUGGAAAUUCAUCGUGAAUACUAAAAAAAGAGGUAAAUUAUUCACGAUUAGGGAUGAUUUGAAGUUUGCUGAUAUGGUUUGAAGUUUGCUGAGAUGGCCGAGUCUAUAAAUGUUGUGUUCAAAAAGCCUCGUGAGCUACCCAUUGUCUCAUUGAUUGAGGUAAUAAAGAAUACACUAACACGGUGGUUUUUUUAUCGUCGAGAAAGUGCUGCGAAACUUACUUCUUCUCUCACACCUAAAGUUGAAAACAAGCUCAAUAAACGGUGUGAUUUGUCUGAUACUUUCGAUGCGCAGCCCAUAAAUCAAUAUGAGUUUCAGGUAACCGAUGGCUCCCAAAAUUUUUUGGUUGAUCUACAACGGAUGACUUGUACAUGUCAAGUGUUUAGUAUUGAUAAGAUCCCCUGUAAGCAUGCUGCUAAAGCUGCAAAAAGUCGAGGCAUAGACCCUGGGUUAUAUGUACAUCCGUACUACUCAAAGUCAUACUUGUGUGCUGCAUAUUCAGAGAGCAUAAGACCUGUAGGUGAUAUUUCAGAAUUGAGCGAAAUACCUGCUGAUAUUGUUGGUCAGAUAUGCUUACCUCCAGAUGUCCGAAGGAAACCAGAAAGACCCGUAAAAAGAAGAUAUCAAAGUGUUGGAGAACAAGCAAUGAGGAAAAAAGCACGCAAACAAUGUUGUUCAAGAUGUCAUCGUUCAGGACACAAUCGUGCGAGAUGUGACUUUGGAAUUUGAUUUUUAUUUUUUAUUUGGUUUGAAACUCUGUUUUUCAUUUCGUAAACUUUUUUCACUCUUCCUUGAAUUGGGAUUUUACAUAUUCUGGUUUUAUAUUAUUUGUAUGCAGACUCUCUCUUUCAAUUUCUCUUAUAUCACCAGUUUGCUAAUGCGUCCUUUUUUUCUUGGUCUUUUCCAAAUCAGUAAUACUAGUAAGUGCAUUACCGUUCUUGAAAUCAAUGAGAAAAUUGAAGAUCUUGAACAAAAUCAAGUUUAAACCUUAUUGCUUUUUUGAAGAUUCAUUGGUUCGCUCCAAUCCUCGAAAUGCAUUUGAUCGCUCAAAGUAUGUUGCCUCAAUGAGACAGACUCAACUUGGUAAUUUGAUCGUUGCUUUUUUUUCAUUCUGAAAACGAUAGUCUGCAUUGAUUAAUGUUGCAUGAGUCUAGUUGUGUGACUUAGGUUGUGGUGCUUGACGAGAGAGGCCGUGACAUUAACUCAGAGCAGAUGGCUGAUUUACUAGGCGAUGCAGGAAAUAGUGUAAGCUUAUACCUUCUCUUUGUUCUUACAUCACCCAUAUCUGUUUUCAGGGAGCUUCAAGGAUAUCGUUUUGUAUAGGUGGACCUUAUGGACAUGGAAGAUAAGUGAGGAAGCGAGCUAAUGUGACCAUUAGACUUUCCUCCAUGGUUCUGAAUCAUCAGAUAGCUCUUGUGGUCUUGAUGGAACAGCUUUACAGGUGAAACCAUUGUUGCUUCCGUCUGUGUGUGCGUCCCAGUUACACUUAAUUUCAAGUUUUUAUAGCCUCGCCGGUUGUGCGUUCAUAUGAUGUGAUGGGGUUUUCUGUUUUCAGGUCAUGGACUAUUCUCAAGGGACAAAAUUACCAUCAUUCAGGAUGUAUGAAUCUCUAUUUUUGGUGUUCUUCUUUUGCUUUCUUGUGCUUAAAGAAACUGGAUUGCUAAAAAGACUUUCUGCUUAUAAUGUAUCAGAAAUUGUUUAUUGAACGUGAAAACGUUUGUAAUCCAAAGUUUAUUGCUUCUGAUCUUGGCUUAGAUUUGAGUCAUCCGAGUGCAAUAUCUGAUUUUGUAUGUUGCAUAUUGUUCUCAUCAUAUAGAGAUUGAAUGAAUGUAGAAGCGAUUGUGGCUGUUCAACAAAUGAUCCUCUCUCCACAUAUCUCCAUAUAAAGGGAAGGAGAUAGGAGACGCUUUAUGAACGUAGAUCAUCUUCCCUUCUUUGAAUCUAGAUUCUUCUCUUGUGUUUGAUUUCCGUUUUGAAGAGUGAAGAGUAAAACGCAAUGUUUUCAGAUUCUAUUUUCAAUACAGUGUUUAUUAGACUUUUUUCUGAUAAUCAAAAGUAAUAACACUCUGUGCAUUAUUCCAUUCUCAUGGAGAUGUGAAACUGCAAAGACAAUUUCUGCAGUCUACACACGAGCCAAGUCCUCUCUAUGAAAAACAAAACAUAGAACUAGUCAGUCCUAUAAUAGUUGCAAAAAGGAAUUAAACUAAACCUGAAAAGCCCUUGGUGAGAGAGCUUGAAGAAUUAAAUGCCCUCCGUUUAUGAAGUCCAUCACAAGAUACAGACUAUACUUAGUCUGCAGAAAAAGAAAAGAAAAACAGGUUCGUAUAGUGCUAUGAUAGCUCAAGAAAACAGAGAAAAUGGAUAAAGUUUGAUUUUGCAAGAUUAGCAAACGAGAUUUGCUCCAGUCUCUUCGCUCUGCUUGUGAUGCUGCUGGUUCUCUUCUUGUUUUCGAUAAGGUACAUAGAAGGAACAGAGAAGCUGAGUCUAGCAAAGGUUUGAGCAAAUUUGAAGUGAGAAUCAAAGAGCUUGAGAUUAAUGCCAAGGGACGAGAAGUUUAAUUAUUGACCUUCGGGGAAGAGUUUCAUUAGCGUUUUAGAAACAAAGAUUUUCUUUUAUAAAGUCUUGUGAAGUCUGCAAGAUUUUCUUUUAUGAGAUUUAUGAGUAAAGCAAAAAAGUAUCUAAAGAAAAGAGUAAUGUAAAGAUCACAAUGUGAUUCAUCUAUUAGAUUUCUAAAAAAAAAAUAUAACUAAAUAGGAAAACCAAGUGAGAAGCAAUCCAACGAAAAACCAAACAAUAAGAAUCAAUGAAUCAAUUAUAAGAAAAGAACUUCCAAAUAAAAGAAAACUAAGAAAAGAAGAAUACGUUCUUAAAACUCAAAACCCAAAAAAUACAUCUAAAGAUUCUGAAAAUGGUUGGCUUCUCCGAACAUAUCCGUUGCAAACUUUUGCCGGAUAUCACUGAUGUUUUCAUCUGACAGUCCAACAUUCAUAUCUAUGUCUAAGGCAAGACACUCGAUAUACUUCAUAGCAUAUACUCCACAAUCACCCGUUUGAGUGUUCUGUGGAAUUCUUCUACAUCUUGAUACUGUGUACUCAUCAGUACUUAAUCCGUAUUGGUCAGCUGGUGAAGCCAAUGAUUUGAGAAGAUAUGGAAGCAUAUGUGCAUAUGGCCUCACCAACUCUGUUAUCUCAUCAUCGCUAGUUAGCGAAAUGAUACUGUCGUACACUUCAAUAUGCUGGUGAGGAAUUGAGAUAGCCAAAGCAAUCCAAUGAACACUUUUAAUGUUUAGCACAAGGUAGACAUCAUCGACAUCAACGCCAAGUCUCUUAUUUGUACUUUCACACCUUGGUAAAACACCUUUAUAGUAAUCAAUUAACUCACCGCUCCAGUCAAAGUUUCUCUGGUUUUGUGAGAACUUUGGGUAGACUUUUGAUAUCACUUUUCUUCAUUGUUUUUUUGUUCGGAUAUGUGUGAUCUAAUUCUGUCUUUCUUUUUCCAUCAAUUUCUUUCUGAAACUUGUACUCCAUCUCUAACAAAACCUAUGAAAAAGAAGAAAAGAAUUCAAAUAUGUGGUAAUUUUUAAUAACCAAAUCAUUCAUUGCAACUAAAAAACAAAAUAAAUAUAGGAAAGCAUCACAAAUCGAGAUACCGUAUUGCUGUGUUGUUCUUCUGCUCCCUUCUCUGUUUUUUUUUUCUUAGAAAAAGAAAGACGUCAACGACUUGUUUAUAUAACAAAUUGAAAAAAAAAAAAUUUUUAUCGAGAUAAAGUUGAAAUUUUUUUAAAGAUUUAUCCAAUUAAUUAAUGUGAUUAAUGAGAUAUCUUUAUCUCAAAUAAAAAUUCAAUCAUAAUAAUUAUUAUUUCGAGUUUUUCUUUUUAUUUAAAUAGAUAGUGUUAGUUAAAUUUUGGUCAAAACGACUUUAAACAUAAAUCAAAAGUGUAGUUUUUAAAAGAAAAAAAAAUGGUGUAUUUUACUAAUUCAGAAACUUAAAUAGUGUAUUUUGCUAAUUAUCCCUUAAAAUUUCUUGUAUAUUUUGAAAUUAACUAAAAGUAAACUAUAUUGCUUAUACUGAUAUUUCCGUUUCUUCACAGUAUGAUCUAUUGAUUUUUGCAACCCUCUAUAUUUGUAUUGUUGCACAGCUACUUAUAUUUCCCUUUCAUUACAAUGUGAUAUAAUAUUUCUUGUAAGUUUUGCAAUCCACUACAUAUCAUUUUUCCCAGAGUCAACUUAUCUUCGUGUUUGUAUAUUGAGUAUUACAUUUGUACUUUUACAAUUCUUUUUUUUUUUAUAAUCUUGAAGUGCUCUAGGAAUUAUAAUUAUUAUAUCAUGUUGGAUUUUUAAGAAUUUUGGUUUUUAUGAUAUUUUGUAAAAAAUUAGAGAGUGAUGUGUUUCUAGGGACAAAAGACGAAGACUUGAAAAAUCAACCCUGGUGUUUUUCCUUCUUGUCCCAUUAAAAAUCUCAGUUUUCUCUUCAAUCUUAUCAACUUCCUCAGAAUCCUCUUCACAUCGACCACAGGUUUCUUCAUCCAUCGACUUAUUGAAAUUUCUUGUAGUAUAAGUUAAACCAAAAUGUGUGGAAACUAUUCAACACAAAAGACUUUUCACUCUCUUCUUUCAACGUGAAUAACACUUCGUACGAAGGACUAAAUGGUGAGCCAAGCGAAGCUGAGUGGAAAUGGAGCACUGACUAUAUGUAUAUAAAGAGAUGGCAUGAAACCAAUUUAACCAUCACAAUUUCCAUUUGCUCGCUUCUUUUUCGCUAUUGAUUUUCAAGAAAGUUAAAAAUUAGCUUAAAGAAAAAACGAAAGGCUCUUGAAACUCAAUGAGUAUCAUUCAUAUUUCUCUUUCUUUUCUCCUCUUGUUCGUUUUUUAUUUUCAUGACGUGUUUGCGUCUCCUACUAGACACUUGUGUCGUCCGGAGCAAAGGGAUGCACUUCUCGAGUUCAAGAAUGAGUUUGAGAUUCGGAAGCCUUCUUUUCGGUGUUAUGUUAAUGGUCGCUGGGUAAACCCGUACCCGAAGACGGAGUCAUGGGCAAAUAAUACUGAUUGUUGUUAUUGGGAUGGUAUCAAGUGCGAUGCCAAAUCCGGGGAAGUGAUCGAGCUAGACCUCAGAUGCAGCUCUCUCUACGGCAAGUUUCGUUCCAAUACCAGUCUGUUUAGGCUUCGUAACUUUCGUUUUCUCACCACUCUAAACCUUUCACGGAAUGAGUUACAUGGUCAAAUCCCGUUUUCAAUUGGAAAUCUUUCUCUUCUUACUUCUCUCGACCUUUCUUCCAAUGGGUUUUCGGGUCAGAUUCCAUCUUCAAUUGGAAAUCUUUCUCUUCUUACUUCUCUCGACCUUUCUGAAAACGGGUUUUCGGGUCAGAUUCCAUCUUCAAUUGGAAAUCUUUCACUUCUUACCUCUCUUGAUCUUUCUUUCAAUCAGUUUUCGGGUCAGAUUCCAUCUUCAAUUGGAAAUCUAUCACUUCUUACCUCUCUCGACCUUUCUCUUAAUCAGUUUUCGGGUCAGAUUCCAUCUUCAAUUGGAAAUCUUUCCCUCUAUCUUAACAGACUCUCUGGUGAAAUCCCAGAUUCUUUUGCCAGUUUGAAAAAUUUGACGAGGUUAGAUGUUAGUUUCAAUAAGCUUAGUGGUAAUUUUCCAAUUUGGCUACUAAAUUUGACAGAGUUGUCGGAUUUAUCACUCGAUUCCAAUCAACUCACAGGAACGCUUCCCUCAAACAUUAGCUCACUCUCCAACUUGGUGAAUUUUUACGCAAGUGACAACGAUUUCGUUGGAACCAUUCCUUCUUCUCUCUUCACCAUUCCUUCUUUGAGAAUAAUUUAUUUGUCAGAUAACCAACUCAACGGCACUCUCGAGUUUGGGAAUAUAUCUUCACCAACAAAGCUAGUCGUGUUAAUGCUUGGCGGUAACAACUUGAGAGGGCCAAUCCCGAGAUCCAUUUCCAAAUUAGUCAACCUCUAUUACCUUGACCUUUCCAAUUGGAACACCCAAUUAGGCCCAAUUGACUUGAGUAUCUUCUCGCAUCUCAAGUCACUCCGAAUUCUUGACUUAUCCCAUUUGAACACCACCACUACGAUUGACUUGAAUGCCAUCUUAUCAUGUUCUCAGUUGCUGGAAACAUUGGAUCUCUCAGGCAACCAUGUUUCAGCCGAAAACAAGAGCUCAGUUUCAGAUCCUCCUUCGCAAAUGAUACGAGAAUUAAACUUGUCAGGCUGCGGUAUUACCGAAUUUCCAGAGAUCAUAAGAACCCAGCAGUCAAUGAGGAGUCUAGACAUUGCCAACAACAAAAUCAAAGGUCAAGUGCCUGGCUGGUUAUGGACUCUACCAAAUCUGACGUACGUGAAUCUUUCCAACAACACUUUCGUCAGUUUCGAAAGACCAACGAAACAUGGACUAUCCUCUGCCGUGGAGUACUUGUCUGGCUCCAGAAACAAUUUCACAGGAAAGAUUCCCUCCUUCAUAUGCGCGUUGGGCUCUCUAAGCGUUCUCGAUUUAUCUGAAAACAACUUCAAUGGUUCAAUCCCUCUUUGUAUGGAGAAUCUCAAGAGUAAUCUUUCGGUUCUAAACCUCCGUCAGAAUCAUCUUAUCGGAGGCCUUCCGGAGAAUGUAUUUGAAAGUCUAAGGUCCCUUGACGUUGGUCAUAACCAACUGGUGGGAAAGCUUCCAAGAUCUUUGAUCCAUUUCUCUGCCCUUGAAGUUCUUAAUGUGGAAAGAAACAGAUUCAACGACACCUUUCCGUUUUGGUUGAGUUCUCUACCAAAGCUACAAAUUCUUGUCUUACGCUCCAAUGCAUUCCAUGGACGGAUACAUCGAGCCUCCUUCCUUCAGUUAAAAAUCAUGGACAUCUCGCAUAAUUACUUCAACGGAGUUUUGCCAUCGGAUUACUUUGUGAACUGGAGUAAAUUGUCAUCACUUGGGACAGAAAAAGAUCGGUCGGAUGUAAACUACAUGGGAGAAGGUACCUAUUACGAAGAUUCAAUGGUUUUGAUGAAUAAAGGUGUAGCAUUAGAGCUGGUACGUAUCCUGAAAAUCUUCACAGCACUCGACUUCUCCGGAAAUAGAUUUGAAGGAGAAAUUCCAAGGUCCAUCGGCCUAUUGAGAGAGCUUCAUGUGCUCAACUUGUCAAACAAUGCUUUCACUGGCCACAUUCCAUCAUCUAUGGGUAACCUGACAGCUCUCGAGUCACUAGACGUUUCUCAAAACAAGCUUUCAGGAGCGAUCCCACAAGAGCUAGGGAAUCUCUCGUACCUUUCUUCCAUGAACUUUUCCCAUAACCAGCUUGUCGGUCUUGUACCUGGAGGCACUCAGUUCCGAACGCAGUCUUGCUCUUCCUUCGAAGACAACCCUGGACUUUUUGGCCCUUCUCUUGACGAAGUUUGCAAAGAUAUACACAAGACAUCAUCGCAAGAGAAUGAAACACCGGAGGAGGCAGAGGAAGAAGACGAAGAGGUGUUUAGUUGGAUUGCAGCUGCAAUAGGAUUUGGACCUGGCAUUGUAUUAGGAUUGACGAUUGGAUACAUAUUGGCCUUCUACAAACCGAGGUGGUUCACGAGUCCUUUUGGCCGAAACAAACACAGAAGCAGAAGCACCACAGCUCAUUAAGAGAGGUAAUCUUCUGAAUUUCAUAGAUUAAAGACUAUUGUAUAGUAUAAUGAAAUUUUCUGGGUUAAUGUAUAUUGUAUGUGAAAAUUAACGCUGUUUUUGUUUGUAUAGCGUUCUUAAACCCAAGAUGAAGAAUCUUUGAAAAACAGAAUGAAGCAACCAGACCAUAGGUAGAGAAGAAGCUUGGGGGAGAAGGCAACUCAUUUUAUCAAAGUCUAAAUAUCAGUGAUUGUUUUUGGUUUAGUUUGGUGUGUUUAUCAUAUACUCUGUUUUUAGCCAAUGUUUGUGUUUCUCUGUAAUUGAACAAUGAAAGAUUGUUUACAAAGCUCAAACUUAUUCUUAUUUAUUAGAUAAACAUGAUUUGAGAGAGGUAAUAAUGUUCUUGCUCCGACUAAAUCAAUUAUUCUUCUGCCAAAUGAAGAACUAAGAUUCAACACACAUCUCAGAACAUUGAUCCUUAUUCUCUUUUGGUAAUAUUAAUUAGCUGAGUAAAAUGAUAACUUACUUAGCUUAUUGACAGAUAUUUCACUUAGCAGAUAGAUAUAUUAGUUAGCUGCGAUCAAGAUCACCGACCAGUUAAAGCUAUAGAUAUACAGGCUUAAAACCCAAGCUUUGCCAUCAGAAUGAGAGAAAAAAAAUCAUCUCACAAAUCAUUCCACUUUCCAACUACUGAAACUCUUCAAUAGUCAAAUGACUCAAAUCUGAAUAAGAGAGUAUACAUACACACAUACUUAAGUCCUAAAUCUUGUUUAUAAAUGUAACAAAAAUAACCCAUCAUUUUUAACCAAAAACAUUGAACGAAGAAAUUACCCUAUGUUUAUCUGAUAUGAUUGUGAUGUAUCUGCCAUCACCAAGUCCUAAAUCUUGUUUAAGGUGAUUAACGAACCAUCCCCAGUUGAUGUCGUUUUCGAUCUCCACUACUGCCCACGCUAUAGGAACAAUUCUAUUAUCUCCAUCCCUUCCAACUGCAGCUAUCAAUAGGCCUUUAACAUCCCAUUUAAGGAAUGCACCAUCUAGUCCUAUGAUAGGUCUGCAAUGUGUUUUCCAAGUGACUCGUUGUGCUUCAAAACAGACAUAAAUACGAUCAAACCUUUGCUUGCUUCCGGGUGUUGGCCCUGGAAUAGUCUGAAUAUCCAUAAUGGUUCCUUUAUUAGUCUUAUGAAUCUCUGCUUCGUAAUCCCAGAUUCGAGCAAAAUGUGUUCCAUGGCCUGCUCGUCUUUGCCUAGUAAUUUUGGUCUAAAUUACUAGGCUAGGUCAGUAUCUAAUUUGGCUAGGUCAAUAUAAGUUCGGGUGUUUUUUGGCUUAUUACAAAGUUUGUAUUUUUUUUUGGCAAAAUCAUAUAAGUUUGGUAUUUAGAUGACCGAUUUCCCUACACACAUACUUAAGGGUCACGAUGACAAAAUCUUCGGUUUAACCAAUAAGAGUAUUCAUCAAAAGACAUCUUAUAAACCAAUGGAUUAUAUUUUAAAAACUUGGUGAAAACAAACAAGAAAUUUAUCAAUAAAAUACAAGAACACUGGGUCAAUAACUGCUUAAUUCUUUUUUUUUUUUAAAAAAACAAAAGGUAAAUGAUGCAAUUGAUAGUAUAAUCUACACUACUCUAUACUCCACUGUUUUACUUUUUUUAUUUUAAGUACACAACUUUUUGUUAUUUUUUAUUCUUGGGAGAUGUAUAUCCUAUAAACAAAACUGUGUUAAAUGGAAGGACUUGAUAGACACCAAAACCAGAAGAGAAACGAAAACAAACGGCUCAAACUUGACAGUAUAAAAUAUCUACUGUUAAAACAUCAUCCAAAAUUUAUAAAUUAACGAUUGAGAAAUAUUUUGAUAAAAAAUAUAAUUCGAUAAUAUUGAUCAGAUUACAGCAUCACAAAGUCAGUGAACAAAUCAUAUAAAACAAACUUGAAUAAAGAAAAUUGUAUCAUGCCAAUUGCCAAAAGAAACCAAACAAAUAAAUAGAUAACAGAAAGUAGAAACAUUGACUGACCGAUUACUAAGUUCUGGACAAAAGACGAAGACUUGAAAAGUCAACUUCAGUCUUCUUCCUUAUUGUCCCACCAAUAAUUUUACUUUUUCUCCUUCAAUCUCAUCUUCUUCCUCAAUCCUCUGAACAUCGACCACAUGUUUCUUCAUCCAUUGACCUCAAAUACUUGAUUUUCACUAUCGACUCUCUUUCUUUCUCUCUCUCUCUAGAUUUUCCGUCAAAGCUAUGGAGAAACUCUGUCUUCGAAACUCUGUUUCUCUCAUGACGAUGGUGGUUAUUGUUCUUCUUCCUCGUUGCACUCUUUCUACUACUUCUACAUAUUCUCGUCCCGAGAAGUUGUACGUCAACUGUGGGUCGGAUUCUAAUGUCACUUACGGUAACCGGACUUUUGUCGGAGAUAUGAUCUCUGGUGGUAACUCCGUUUCAUUCACCAAGAAAGGAACUGAAGCCAUCAACCAAUCAGGAUCAGGAAUCUACGAAAUGGUUAGGAUAUUCACAAGCCCUUCUUCUUACAAGUUCCAACUCGAUUCCGUUGGUCUGCACUUCGUGCGUCUCCAUUUCUCUGCUGUCUCUUCUCGGACACAGCUUUUAGCUGCUCGUUUCACAAUCUCAGCUACUUCUCACUUGAAAAGUUUCUCGCUUCAGAAUUUCAAUGAGACCCCACGAGUUGAGGAGUUUCUCCUGAUGAUUGACUCGCCGGAAUUCGAAAUUCGAUUUGUGCCCGAUCAUUCAUCCAUGGCUUUCGUCAACGCCAUCGAAGUGUUCUCUGCUCCAGAUGACCUAGAAAUUCCGUCAGACUCCGACAAGAAUCUGCAUACGGUUUACAGAUUAAACGUAGGAGGCAAGAAGAUCACACCAGAAAACGACACCUUGGGAAGAACUUGGUCAUUAGACGAUGACUUCCUCUACGAAAAAGAUUCUGCGAGGAACAUUAACUCAACACAAAAGCCUAACUAUGAGUCAGGAACAGUGACGCAAUUCACUGCUCCUGAUUUCGUCUAUCAGACAGCUAAAACGAUGAACCAUAGCUCGAACGAGGGGGUGGUAGAGGGAAUGUUGAUGAACGUCACUUGGUCAUUUAAGGUCAAAAGCAGCUCAAGACACUUCAUCAGGGUUCACUUCUGUGAUAUCAAGAGUGAAUCACAAAAUCCCGACUCCGAUUUCUAUCUCUAUGUAAACGGACAAUCACGACUAGAUGUAAAGCCUUCAGAGCGUNNNNNNNNNNNNNNNNNNNNNNNNNNNNNNNNNNNNNNNNNNNNNNNNNNNNNNNNNNNNNNNNNNNNNNNNNNNNNNNNNNNNNNNNNNNNNNNNNNNNAUAUAAAUCAUAAAUAUUAUUUAUUUAAAAUUCUACUUGAAAAGCCUUUAAAUAAAGUAACUUAAACUUGUAUAAGUAGUAUAUUUUAUAUAUAUAAAAAAUAAAUUUGUAACUAAAAAAGUGAUAAUAGAGAUUUUAAUAUUAUGGUGGUUUAUUUUUGUUGUUAAUGGAGAUUUUUUAUUUUUAACCAUAAUAUUAGGAUUUGGAAACUUUUUUGAAUUUUUAAAUGUUGAUAUGGAUGCCUUAAAAAUAAUAUGGCUAAACUGUUAUUAAUAAUAGAAUAGUUUAAAUUACAAAUUUUCCUAUAUUGUUUUGUAUUACCAAUGUAAUUUUAUAAUUUAAAAACUUUUUAAAUUUUAAUUAUUGAUGUAGACUAAAAACAUUGACCUUUUACAUGUUAUGUGGAUGUCUUUGGAAGCAUAUAGCUUCAGCUUUUAUUUUUCUAUAAAUAUUUUUUUUGUUAACAAUACAGUUUUAAAAUUUGAAAAUUUUCUAAAUUUUAGAUAUUGAUAUAAACCAAUAGAAUUGAAAUUUUAAAUCCUAUGUGGACACUCUUAGAGGUAUAUAGCUUCAGGUUUUAUUUGUAAUAUAUUUAGAUAUUAACACUGGAAGAUCCCACACGAGGCCCAUUGCGGUAAGUGAUUUUGGUUUCUCCUCUAUGUUUUGAGGCUUACGGAAUGUAUUCUGAUACUGUUUGAUUCAGCUAAUUGUUACCUUUGUGGUUCAGGUUGGAUUGCUAAACCCUUGUCAGACACCAUGUUAUUCCAAAGAUUUUCCUCGGAUACCUCAGUCUCUUCGCCUUAAUGCAGAACUUCUUUCUCUAUUUCUAGUGGUUCGUUUUUCAAAAAUUUUGGGUAUCAAUCACUUGACAUGUUUCUCGGAUUACUUGAAAUUUAUCAUUCUUCUCAAAUCUGGUGGCAAAACUUUAGAGAUUUUACAGUCUCUUUUUCAAUAUUAAAACAGCUUGUAGUGUCUUUGUUUUCAUCAUAAUCAUUUUAAUUUAGCUAAUAGUUAAACAUAUAGUUUAGUCAAGUUGGUUCUUAAUUUUACAUUGUAAUGAUUCAUUCUUUAGUGAAACCUAUCUCUAUUUUUUUGCUUUUUUAAUUGAAAUGGUUGUACAUACAUAAAAAAAACUUAAAAUUUAUUAUAGUUAUGUGAAAAAAAUUUGGAUGCUAAUGUAGGAGUAUGUAAAUAAAUUUAAAUAUUUUAUUUGUUCUUAAUUAUUUAUAUAAUUGAAACAUCUAACUUAAAUUUAAAUUUUCCUAUUUUAAAAUAUUUAUUUUAUUUUUAUUAUUAUUAAUAUAAAUUAUAUAUAUAAUUUAUUCAUCUUUAAUAAAAUUUUAAAACAAUAAUAGAAUUUAGAAACUUUUUUUAUUUUUAAUGUUGAGGUGGACCAAUAAAAAAUUUAUACAAAAUUUCUUUAUUAAACAAUAAUAUUAGAAUUUGUAAACUUUCUUAAUUUUUUUAUUUAACACUAAUAUUAAAAUUUGGAAAUUUUCUUAAUUUUGAAUGAUGAUGUGGACCAAUAAAAUUCUUAAUUUCCUUAUUUAAUAAUAAUAUUAAAAUUUGUAAAUUUUCCUAAUUUUGAAUGAUAAUGUGGGCCAAUAAAAUUGUAUUUUUUAAUCCUAUGUGAACGCCUUGAAAAGCUUAUAGCUUCAUGUUUUAUUAGUAUAAGAUUAUAUGCAAAUCUUAUAUUUUGCGUCCAUGCUAUGCGUGGAUAUUUGGUCGAUAAAAAUUAUAUUUAUCAAUAUAAAAAUUUUCUAUAUUAAUGUUUUAAUUAUAUAUUUAAAAUAUUAUAAUGUUAAUCUAAUAAUUUUUAUGUAAAUUAUAAGGUUUUAACGGUUUUUUUAAUCUAUAUAUAAUAUGUUAUAUUUCAAAAACGUAUUAUUUGGUCAAACACUUAUAAGUAAAAUUUUACAAAUUAAUCAAAUGCUAAUUUUAAAUAUAGUAUUGACAUGAUGAUAAAAUAUUAUACAUUCACUUUUUUAAAUCAUGAAGAUAUUUUUUUUUAUCAUUUUCACUUUUAUUUCAAUUAUAUAUGUGUUUUUUAAAAACAAUAAAAAUAAUUAUAUUUAAUUUUUUUUCCUUCUCUUGUAAUUAACUAAUAAAUAAAAUAUUUGCUUUUGAGGUUAAUAAUAACUAUAAACUUGAAAUCAAAACAGCAUAUGAAUAUAAAAUGAAUAAAAUCACUAAAAAUUUUUGAAUUAAAUAUAUUUUUGAUAAUUGGUUGUGUAAAAUUUUAAAUAAUUUUUUAAUUAUUAUUCCUCAUCUCUUCUAAUGAGAAUGAAAAAAAAUUUCAUCAUGUUCAUUUUUAUUUUUGUUAUAUCUGUUUUUUUAUGAAUAUGUCAUAUUUGUAUAUUUUAAUGAUUUGUGUAUGACUAUAUUCAGUUUCAUCAUAUUCAUUUUUACUUCUUUGAAUUAUAAUUAAGUAGGCAAAAUCGGUAUAAUUAAAUACAUUUAAUUUUUUAAAAAAAAAAAAAAUUGAACAACUCAAAACAAAGAGUUUCUACAUUAAUCUAUUGCAAUUCCAAGUCGAAUUUUUUUUAAAAAAAGAAAAUUUUGAUUAUUUUUCAGUAAUAUAUUACAUAAUAUUAUGUGAAUAUAUGUAUUGCAUAUGUUAAAACAUUUAUAUGAAUAUAAAUUAUAAUUAUUAGUUAUUUAAAAUUCAAUGUGAAAACCCUUAAAAUCAAGUAACUAAACUUGUAUAAGUAGCAUAUAUUUGUUUUGUAGAUGAUAAAUUAUAUUUGUAACUUAAACAGUGUUAAUGGAGAUUUUAAUAUCAUUUUGGUUUUUUGUGUUGUUAACAGAGAUUUCUUUAUUUUUUAAUUUAUUUUUUAACUAUAAUAUUAGAAUUAAGAGUUUUUUAAUUUACAUUUUUGUUAUAUACAAAUAAAAUUGAUAAUAGAAUAAUAUAACUUUAACUAUUAUUAAUAAUAGAAUAAUUUUAACUAACACUUUUACCUAAAUUGUUUUGUAUUAACAAUAUAAUUUUAUAAUUUAGAAUUUUUUUAAAACUUUAGUUAUUAAUGUAGACUAAUAAAAUUGACCUUUUAAAUCUUAUGUGUAUGUCCUUACAGGCAUAUAGCUUCAAAUUUUAUUUUUCUAUAAAUAUAUUUUUUUGUUAACAAUAUAAUUUUAAAAUUUAGAAAUUUUUUUAAAUUUAAAUAUUAAUAUGGACUAAUAAAAUUAAACUUUUAAAUCAUAUAUGGAUAUUCUUAGAGAAAUAUAGCUUUAAAUUUUAUUAAUAAUAGAUUUAGGAAUCAAACAUGGAGGAUGCCACACAAGGCUCGUUGCGGUAAUUGAUUUUGAUAUUUUCUCCUUGUUUUGAGGUUUACCGAAUGUAUUUGGAUGAUGUUUGGUCAGCUAAUUGUUACUUUUAUGGUUAAAAUUAGAUUUUUAAAAUCCUAUAAAAUGCCAUGUUAUUUUAAAAAAAAUUUUCGGAUAUCUUAGUCUCAUUCGUCUUAAUGACAAAACUUCUUUCUCUAUUUUCAGUGUUUUGUUUUUCAAAAGUAUCGAGUAUCAAUCACUUGACAUGUUUCUUGGAUUGGUUGGAAUUUAUCAUUCUUCUCAAAUUUGAUGGCUAAGCUUUAGAGAUUUUAUGAUCUUUUUUUCAAUAUUAAAGCGGCUUGUAGUGACUUUGUUUAUAUCUUCUUUCAUUAUAUUCUUUGUAAUUUAGCUAAUAGUUAAAAAUAUAAUUUAGUCAAGUUGAUUGUAUUUUUUUGUUUUUGUUAAUUUGAAAUAGUUGCACACAUAGAAAAAUUGGACGCUAAUGUAAGAGUCUCUAAAUAUGUAUGUAUAAAUCUAAUUUAAAUUUAUAUUUUCAUAGUUUAAUAUUAUUAUUUUAGUUUUUAUUAAUAUAAAUUUUAUAUAUGAUUUAUUUAUCUUUAAUAAUUUUUAAAAACAAUAAUAAAAUUUAGAAACAUUUAAAUUUUCAAUAUUGAGGUGGACCAAUAAAAAUUUUAUACAAAAAUUUCCUUAUCCAUCAAUAGUAUUAAAAUUUGUAAACUUUCCUAAUUUUCUUAUUCAGCAAUAAUUUUAUAACUUGUAAAUUUUCCUUAAUUUUGAAUGUUGAUGUGGACCAAUAAAAUUACUCUUUUAAAUCCUAUGUAAAAACCCUUAGAGCAUGGCAGUUUUACACAGGUUCUAAGGUGGGGUUUAUAAGUUUUUUGGAUUUUAAAAAAAUGAAAAAAGCCCAAUAUCUCGUGAACCGGUUCUUGUUUUAGAGUUUUUGGAGACUGUAUUUAGAAGGGUUCAUAAGUGACGUGUCUGCUUCUCAUUCGUUCAACAAGAAAUUUUUUUACGCUCUCUCUCCUCUUCCACUUUCUCUGGUUUUUCGUUUAUGUCGACAUUUAUUUCUCCUCUUCCAACCACGAUUUUUUCUCUGGUGAUUUCAGAUCAUGGGCUAAAAAAAUGAAAGCUUUGCAUGAACCCACUUGAAAAAGAGCUGGGAUUUUCAUUGGAAUCAAAGCAUCACUCUUUCCUCGAUCAUUGUUACAAAUCGAACAGACGGUAAUGCCGGAGGCUCAAUUCCGAGAUAAAUUUGAUCACGUCGAUUUCUUUCUGGUUUGUUACGUGUUUGAACUGCCAAACCAAUUCAUUCAUUAUAUAAAAUCAAAACCGAGAACAUCAUACUUGAGAUCACUGUUCUUCUUUUGCUUCAUAGUUUGUGAAGGAAAAUUAAACAAAAAAAAUUUUAGAUUUCAUCAAACCCAGUUUAAGAACCUCUAAUGAUGUUCACCAUUGGAGGAAUAAAAAACUUUGGAGUUCUAAACCAUUCUUUAAUCAAAAAUAAAUUAUUAAAAAAUAGCUAUGAACCCCAAGAGGAGGUUCACCAUUACUGGUGCUCUUAGAAACAUAUAGCUUCAACUUUUAUUAGUAUAAGAUGUUUUCUCAUUUUUUUAUUUUAAAAUAUAUCUACUGAUCUACAUAUUUGAUUUACUAAGGUUAUUUUCUUAUAACGUAUCUCGGACUUGGAAAAUAUCAUGAAUGUGAAUUCAAAACAUUGAUUUGACAAACUUUUUCUCUCUCGAAGCUCUUUCGCGUGCUUCCGUCUUGGUGGUCUUCUCCGGUUAUGGCGCUCAUCGCUGGACUGUGAGAAGGCCACCCCAAGGUUAGUUUUGUAAUUCGCGCCCAUCAUCGACGGAAGAGGUUCAUCGGCGGUGGAUUUGGAGGCGACCUAUUCUUCUCUGCAGUACUGUGGCAUGGAAAACCAGCGCGACGAGCGGCUGCGGAAGCUUGGUGGCCUUGACAAAGUGGUGUUGUGGAGUCUCAGUGAUUUGUCUCUGAUCAAGGGCGGCGGAGUGUUUCAUUGGAGAUCUUGCCGCAGUUCUAUCGAGGCUUAGAGAGGCAACUUGUUUUCGCUAGUUUGGUGGGUUGGGCCGUUUGUCGGGGACAGUUCUCCUGGUCGACGGUUGGAUCUACCUAAGGAUGGCGGUUCCUCUCGGUGGUGUUGUCAACUUGUCGGAGUCGGAUACUGUUCCUUACCGGAUUGAAGAUGGUGGUUCACGUGGUAAAAAAGAGGAGAUGUGCAUCGCGCGGCGGUGUUGGUUUCGAAGGAAGAGAAAAUCUGUGUGUCGGUUACUGGAUCUGGUGGUAGUCGACGAUUUGGCCGUGGGUUAUUCCAUGCUUUUGGUCAUGUCACUCCGGGAGUAGGAGUAUUCGGAAUCUUGCUGUGAACGGAUCUGGUUUCCGAAAUUGGACAACCUAGUUUCCAGUUCCUUAAAGGCGACGAUAGCUCUGCGCCGUUCUCGCAUACGCUGGAGGAAGAUAUGCAUGGGCUCGAGCUACUUUUCCCAAUCACAGAUUUAAUCUUAACCUAGUCCAUACGCUUUACCUUAGCCUAUUUCCAAGUCUUUUUUCAUUUUUUUGUUCAGGUUUACCACCGGCGGAGAUGUACUGUUCCGAUACCCUUUUAGGAAUUUUAUUAAUAAAAAUAUAUAUUUUUUUAAAAACAUUCAUUUUGACACGUUUCGACAUUUCAUAGUUUAUAAAACUGUCACAUACUCACAUGGUUUUUGUGAUAUGCUUACAACUAAUAAAUGUCUUUGGUACAAUUGUUUUUCAAUUUUUAGUUCUACCAAUUUUUAUUAUUUUUACGAUAAAAGUUAUCAUUUUAAAAAUAUGUUGAUUGUCACUAGUUCAGUGUUUUAUAUGGGAAAAUGGUCAAAAUUAAUCGAACUAAAUUUGAUGUGUCGAAAAAAAUCCGAACUAAAAUACGGUGCUAAUAACUAUCUAAACUCUAAAUAAUUCAAAUUUCCUAUCUGAAUUCUAAUAUAUGUGUCAAAAUCUAUCUUGACUAACUUUGACAUUAGUAACUGUUAAAAAAUGCUAACGAGGCAUGCUGACGUUGUCAUUUUAAUAAAACGAUAUUUUUUUUGUUGUAAAAAAAAUCAAAAACUUAUCCUCUUACCAGAACUUGACUUUUUAAUUUGUAGUUAAAUGUGUGGACCAGUUGAACCGUGAAACAAUAUUAAUACUUUUUACAAACAUAUUUAUAUAUUAUUGAUAUGCUGCAACAUUACAAUCAUGAGACCUAAAGAGAACAAGUAACAUCCCGUGGAUUAUCAAAGCCAUUACAAAAAGUAACCUGUUUGCUCUAUCGAGAUCUAAAGAGAACGAAUUCUCACCCAAAAUCGAUUUUCUCCUUUUGUUAAGCUUCUUCAAUCUCGUUUUUCUUCUACGGUUUUUUGGUUUUCUCUGCCAGAAUUGGUAGAGAGAGAAUGGAGAAGACGAAGUUGUUGCUGCUGCAAUUCUCCGAACUCAACAUCGAACACAGUUCCCGAUUAAUUGCAGCCUCUCAAUGCUCCAACAAUGGAAUUCGAUGAAGAAGAAGAACUCUCUAACCCUAAUUCGAUUUUGAGGGUGUAUUUUAUCCCCAAUUUAAUAUGUGGUCGUUUCGUUAAUUUUUUUUUUCGAGUUUAGACAUAUAUAUCAAUAACAUAUAAAUGUAUUUGUAAAGAAAAUCAAUAAUAUCUCACGGUUCAGUUGGUCAUUGCUUAAAUGGGGUUUACAAUGGCGCAGAUUGAAGUCCAAGGAAUAGAAAAAAUUUAGAUUUUUUUUAACAACGAAAACGACGUCGUUUUAGUAAGGUGACAACGUGUCAUGCCAAGUCAUAUUCUAUCAUGCCUCGUCAACGUUUUUUAACAGUUGAUUAACGUCAAAGUUAGUCAAAGUAGAUUUUAACACAUAUAUUGGAGUUCGAAUAGGAAAUUUGAAUUAAUUUGGAGUUCAGAUAGUUAUUAGCACCGUAUUUUAGUUUAGAUUUUUUUUAGCAAAUUUAGUUCGGGUUGGUUUUGGCCAUUUUCCCAUGUUUUAUAUAUAUAAGAUUUUAUUGGUUCAUGUGUUUCAAAUAAUAUCGAUCUCCAAUCAAAAUCUUGUUCAUUGGAUUAUCGAUGUAAGAAUUAUCGUCAAUAUCUUAUAUUAUUAGUUUAACAACUUAUAUGUACUUGUUGAAAUCUGGUGUCUUUAAUUCAACACAUCGACAACACCAAGAAAAACAAAAAAAUUGUAAUAUCUAAUGGAUCACUUUUUCCUCAUAAUUUUAUCUUUCUUGGUCUUCUCCAUCCUUUCUCUAAAACGUUUGAUCGGUAGAUGGCGGAACAAGUUUAACUUACCUCCAACUCCAGCUUGGUCACUGCCGGUGAUUGGUGAUUGGUGUAGAAAGUAAAUUUUGAGGAGAUAAAUAUUGCAAUAUAAGAAAACAAAUUGAGACAUAGAAAAACAUUUUAUAAAAGCGGAUUAAGGAAAAAUGAGAAAUGGAGGCGAGAUGAUCUCUUUCCUUAAUUCAAAAUAUCUCCCGCAGUGUGGCGGUUAGAUGAGAUAAUGAAUCCCAUGAUACAACCACUGAUAUUCGUAUAAUCGCAGCACCCGAUUAUUGAUAACACCGGAUUUUGACUAUUUUUAUGGAUCAUUUUAAUAUCUUUUACAGGUGUUUUUACUCCAUUUUCAAAGGUUUUCAAAGGAUUUCUAUAUUUUCGGAUUUUAAAAGACUUUUCAGGUAAUGUGGGAUAAAGAGGCACAAAAUAGAACAAAAAGACUCUUUUGGAUAAAUGCAGACCGUCAGAACUUUCAUGGAGAGACGAAGACCUUCUCACCGUCUGAUCACCCUCAAAAUUGGACAACUUAUAGAAGAAUCAACCAGCUUUCAAAUGCACUUAGUUUGGAGACAUUACAACGGUUGGAUCUCAAGAUAUUCCAUUAGCCCCGGAGCCACGCGGAGUCGGCCAGCAACUCACGCGACCGCGGCCAACAAGCUAUUUGCCGCGGUCAGAAGCUUCCCGAUCGCAGCCAACAAGCCAAUUGCCGCGGUCACAACACUCCCGACCGCGGCAUUCAACCUCCGACUUAAAGCCCACUUAUCUGAAGCCCAAAGUCAUUCCCAGCCUCAAUUCCGGAACCCUAGAGACCAUGGAGUAUUGGAGACUAUAAAUACAUGUCAUUUAGGUCGUUUUUAGAGAGAACCCUAGAUACUUUACAGAAACCCUUUUCUUUUAGCCGUUUUUAUGAGAUUUUUGUAGAAGAUUUUUCAAGUCCGAGUUCUUCAAUAGAGAAGCUUUCUUUAUCUCUUUUCUUUACUGUUUUUCAUUACUUUUAUUAAAACCAAUGAUGAUGUCGAACUCAGCCAUGUCUGAGUAGAUCCCGAGUUGGGCUUAGGGUUCCCGAAAGGGGCUCUCAUAAUCGAUUAAAAAAUUAGAGAUUGAUGUGUUUCUAGGGACAAAAGACGAUGACUUGAAAAAUCAACCCUGGUCUUUUCCCUUAUUGUCCCAUUAGAAAUCUCAGUUUUCUCUUCAAUCUUAUCUUCUUCCUCAGAAUCCUCUUCACAUCGACCACAGGUGUCUUCAUCCAUCGACUUAUUGAAAUUUCUUCUAGUAUAAGUUAAACCAAAAUGUGUGGAAACUGACUAUUCAACACAAAAGACUUUUCACUCUCUUCGUUCAACGUGAAUAACACUUCGUAGCAAAUGACUAGAUGGUGAGCCAAGCGAAGCUGAGUGGAAAUGGAGCACUGACUAUAUGUAUAUAAAGAGAUGGCAUGAAACCAAUUUAACCAUCACAAUUUCCAUUUGGUCGCUUCUUUUUCACUAUUGAUUUUCAAGAAAGUUAAAAAUUAGCUUAAAGAAAUAACGAAAGGCUCUUGAAACUCAAUGAGUACCAUUCAUAUUUCUCUUUCUUUUCUCCUCUUGUUCGUUUUUUAUUUUCAUGACGUGUUUGCGUCUCCUACUAGACACUUGUGUCGUCCAGAACAAAGGGAUGCACUUCUCGAGUUCAAGAAUGAGUUUGAGAUUCGGAAGCUUUCUUUUUUUCAGUGUUAUGUUAAUGGUAGCGUUGUUAUUGGAAUGGUAUCAAGUGCGAUGCCAAAUCUGGGGAAGUGAUCGAGCUAGACCUCAGUUGCAGCUGUCUCUACGGCAAGUUGCGUUCCAAUACCUCUGUUUAGGCUUCACAGCUUUUGUUUUCUCACCACUUUAUACCUUUCAUAUUAGGUCCCCAAAUCCCGUUCUCAAUUGGAAAUCUUUCUCUUCUCACUUCUCUCGACCUUUCUGAAUAUGGGUUUUCGGGUCAGAUUCCAUCUUCAAUUGGAAAUCUUUCACAGCUCACCUCGCUUGAACUUUCUUCCAAUCAGUUUUCGGGUCAGAUUCCAUCUUCAAUUGGAAAUCUUUCACAGAUCACCACUCUCCGUUUUUCCUUUAAUCAGUUUUCGGGUCAGAUUCCGUCUUCAAUUAAAAAGCUCUCUCAUCUCGAAACUCUUGACCUCAGUCAUAACAGACUCACUGGUGAAAUCCCAGAUUCUUUUGCCAGUUUGAAAAAUUUGACCGAGUUAAAUGUUAGUUUCAAUAAGCUUAGUGGUAAUUUUCCAAUUUCACUUCUAAAUUCGAUCAACUCACAGGAACGCUUCCUCCAAACAUUAGCUCACUCUCCAACUUGGAGUGGUUUUAUGCAUAUGACAACGAUAUAGUUGGAACCAUUCCUUCUUCUCUCUUCACCAUUCCUUCUUUGACACAAAUUGAUUUGUCAAAUAACCAACUGAACGGCAUUCAUGAGUUUGGGAAUAUACCUUCACCAACAAAGCUAGUGAGGUUAGAGCUUGGCGGUAACAACUUGAGAGGGCCAAUCCCGAGAUCCAUUUCCAAAUUAGUCAACCUCUAUUACCUUGACCUUUCCAAUUGGAACACCCAAUUAGGCCCAAUUGACUUGAGUAUCUUCUCGCAUCUCAAGUCACUCCGAUUUCUUGGCUUAUCCCAUUUGAACACCACCACUACGAUUGACUUGAAUGCCAUCUUAUCAUUUUUCCAGUCGCUUGGAUCAUUGGAUCUCUCAGGGAAUCAUGUUUCAGCCGAAAACAAGAGCUCAGUUUCAGAUCCUCCUUCGCAAAUGAUUAGUUCUUUAAACUUGUCAGGCUGCGGUAUUACCGAAUUUCCAGAGAUCAUAAGAACCCAACAGUCUAUGAGAUUUCUAGACAUUUCCAACAACAAAAUCAAAGGUCAAGUGCCUGGCUGGUUAUGGACGCUACCAGAUCUGGAGUACGUGGAUCUUUCCAACAACACUUUCGUCAGUUUCGAAAGACCAACGAAACAUGGACUAUCCUCUGCCUUUAUGUACUUGUUUGGCUCCAAAAACAAGUCUAAGGUCCCUUGACGUUGGUCAUAACCAACUGGUGGGAAAGCUUCCAAGAUCUUUGAUCCAUUUCUCUGCCCUUGAAGUUCUUAAUGUGGAAAGAAACAGAAUCAACGACACGUUUCCGUUCUGGUUGAGUUCUCUACAAAACCUGCAAGUUCUUGUCUUACGCUCCAAUGCAUUCCAUGGACCGAUUCAUCGAGCCUCCUUCCUUCAGCUCCUUCCUUCGCAUAAUCACUUCAACGGAACUUUGCCAUCGGACUAUUUUGUGAGCUGGAGUAAAAUGUCAUCACUUGGGACAGAGGAAGGUCGCUCAGAUCUAUACUACAUGGGAAAUGCAUAUUACGAAGAUUCAAUGGUCUUGAUGAAUAAAGGUGUACCAUUAGAGCUGGUACGUAUCCUUGAAAUCUACACAGCACUCGACUUCUCCGGAAACAGGCUUGAAGGAGAGAUUCCAAGCACCAUCGGCCUAUUGAAAGAGCUUCAUGUGCUCAACUUGUCAAACAAUGCUUUCACUGGCCACAUUCCAUCAUCUAUGGGUAACCUGACAGCUCUCGAGUCACUUGACGUUUCUCAAAACAAGCUUUCAGGAGUGAUCCCACAAGAGCUAGGGAAUCUCUCGUACCUUGAAGUCAUGAACUUCUCCCAUAACGCAGCCUUGCUCUUCCUUCGAAGACAACCCUGGACUUUUUGGCCCUUCUCUUGACGAAGUUUGCAAAGAUAUACACAAGACAUCAUCGCAAGAGAAUGAAACACCGGAGGAGGCAGAGGAAGAAGACGAAGAGGUGUUUAGUUGGAUUGCAGCUGCAAUAGGAUUUGGACCAGGCAUUGUAUUAGGACUGACGAUUGGAUACAUAUUGGCCUUCUACAAACCGAGGUGGUUCACGAGUCCUUUUGGCCGAAACAAACACAGAAGCAGAAGCACCACAGCUCAUUAAGAGAGGUAAUCUUCUGAAUUUCAUAGAUUAAAGACUAUGUAUAAUAUAACGAAAGUUUCUGGGUUAAUGUAUACUGUAUGUGAAAAUUAACUUUUUACGCCGUUUUUGUUUGUAUAGCGUUCUUAAACCCAAGAUGAAGAAUCUUUGAAAAACAGAAUGAAGCAACCAGACCAUAAGUAGAGAAGAAGCUUGGGGGAGAAGGCAACUCAUUUUAUCAAAGUCUAAAUAUCAGUGAUCGUUUCCGGUUUAGUUUGGUGUGUUUAUCAUAUACUCUGUUUUUAGCCAAUGUUUGUGUUUCUCUGUAAUUGAACAAUGAAAGAAUGUUUACAAAGCUCAAACUUAUUCCCAUUUCUCUGUGAUUGGACAUGAUUUGAGAGAGGUAAUAAUGUUCUUGCUCCGAAUAAAUCAAUCAUUCUUCUGCCAAAUGAAGAACUAAGAUUCAACACACAUCUCAGAAAAUUGAUCCUUUUUCUCUUUUGGUAAUAUUAAUUAGCUGAGUAAAAUGAUAACUUAAUUAGUUUAUUGAAAGAUAUUUCACUGAGAAAUAUAUUAGUUAGUGGCGAUCAGGAUCAGCGACCAAUUAAAGCUAUAGAUAUAGUUGCUUAAAACCCAAGCUUUGCCAUUACAAUGAGGAAAAAUCAUCUCACAAAUCAUUCCACUUUCCAACUAAUGAAACUCUACAAUAGUCAAAUGACUCAAAUCGGAAUUAGAAAGUAUACAUACACACAUAAUUUAAGGUCACAAUGACAAAAUCUUCGGUCUUACCAAUAAGAGUAUAAGUAUUCAUCAAAAGACAUCUUCUAAAAUGGAUUAUAUUAAAAAAAUUUGGUGAAAACAAACAAGAAAUUUUUACUGCUUAAUUCUUUUUGUUUUUAAAAACCAAAAGGUAAAUGGAAGUCGCUCUAAUUUUUACUUAUAAACCAAAACAAGAAAUUUUCAGUUAUAUCGUUCUAAGAUAAUGCAAUUGAUAGUAUAAUCUAUACUACUCUAUACUCCACUGAUACUUUUUCGUUUUUAAGCAGACAACUUUUCAGAGUACAAAUCUUUUGUUAUUUUUAUUCCUGGGAGAUGUAUAUCCUAUAAACAAAACUGUGUUAAAUGGAAGGACUUCAUGGACACCAAAACCAGAGGAGAAACGAAGACAGACGGUUUAGAAAUAUUUUGAUCACAUCAAAAAAAUAUAAUUCGAUAAUUUUUAUCAGAUUACAGCAUCACAAAGUCAGUGCAAAAUCAUAUAAAAAAAAUUCGAAUAAAGAAAAAACGUAUCAUGCCAAACGAAACCAAACAAAUAAAUAGAUAACAGUUGACUGACCGAGUCAGUCAUGGACAAAAACGAAGACUUGAAAAGUCAACUCCGGUCUUCUUCCUUAUUGUCCCACCAAUAAUUUACUUUUUUUCCUUCAAUCUCAUCUUCUUCCUCAAUCCUCUCAACAUCGAUCACAUAUUUCUUCAUCCAUUGACCUCAAAAACUUGAUUUUCACUAUUGACUCUCUUUCUUUCUCUCUCUCUCUAGAUUUUCCAACAAAGCUAUGGAGAAACUCUGUUUUCGAAACUCAUUUUCUCGCUUUAUGACGACUGUGGUCAUUGUUCUUCUUCCUCGUUGCACUCUUUCUGCUACUUCUACAUAUUCUCAUCGUCCCGAGAAGUUUUACGUCAACUGUGGGUCGGAUUCUAUUGUCACUUAUGGUGGUCGGACCUUCGUCGGAGAUAUGAUCUCCGGUGGUAACUCCGUUUCUUUCAACAGUAAAGGAACUGAAGCCAUCAACCAAUCAGGAUCAGGAAUCUAUGAAACGGUUAGGAUAUUCAGACGCCCUUCUUCUUACAAGUUCCAACUCGAUUCCAUUGGUCUGCACUUCGUGCGUCUCCAUUUCUCUGCUGUCUCUUCUCGGACAGAGCUUUUAACUGCUCGUUUCACAGUCUCAGCUACUUCUCACCUGAAAAGUUUCUCGCUUCAGAAUUUCAAUGAGACCCCACGAGUUGAGGAGUUUCUCCUGAUGAUUGACUCGCCAGAAUUCGAAAUUCGAUUUGUGCCCUAUCAUUCAUCCAUGGCUUUUGUCAACGCCAUCGAAGUGUUCUCUGCUCCUAAUGACCUCGAAAUUCCGUCAGACUCCGACAAGAAUCUGCAUACGGUUUACAGAUUAAACGUAGGAGGCAAGAAUAUCACACCAGAAAACGACACCUUGGGAAGAACUUGGUCAGUUGACGAGGACUUCCUCUACGAAAAAGAUUCUGCGAGGAACAUUAAUUCAACACAAAAGCCUAACUACGAGUCAGGGACAGCGACGCCAUUCACUGCUCCUGAUUUUGUCUAUCAGACAGCGAAAACGAUGAACCAUAGCUCGAAUGAGGGGAUGGCAGAUGGGAUGUUGAUGAACGUUACUUGGUCAUUUAAGGUCAAUAGCAACUCUAGACACUUCAUCAGGGUUCACUUCUGUGAUAUCAAGAGUGAAUCACAAAAUCCCGACUCCGAUUUCUAUCUCUAUGUAAACGGACAAUCACGACUAGAUGUAAAGCCUUCAGAGCGUAUUAGGUUGGUGACUCCGUUUUUCAAAGAUGUGAAUGUCUCUGAUGGUUUUGGACUCUUGAAUGUUACAAUAGGUACUAAGGAUUCCACUAAGGAUGCUGGUUUUCUGAAUGGUCUGGAGGUGAUGGAGUUUUUGAAAAAGUCAGAUUCUUCAGAUAAAAGUAGUUUCCGGGUUUACAUCAUCGCUGGCUGUGUUGUUGCUGCAUCGGUUCUGGUAUUGAGUUUGUUGUUCACAGUUUUCUUGAAGCGGAGGAGAUCGAAGAAGGAGAAUAAGUCAGACGCUGAGGUCACUGAAUGGUCUCCUUUGCCAUUGUACAGAGGUGGUGGGAGUUCCGACAAUAGACCUUCUGAUCCGGUCAACAAUUCUCCAUUACGCAGCAAUAGAACUUUUGAUCCGGUCCAUAAUUCGCCAUUACGCAACCUAAACUUAGGCUUGACCAUUCCCUUCAUAGACAUUAUGAGAGCUACAAACAAUUUCGAUGAGCAGUGGUUGAUCGGGAGAGGCGGUUUUGGAGACGUUUACAAAGCCAUUCUUCAAGAUGGAAGCAAAGCGGCUAUCAAGAGAGGCAAGAGUGGUUCAGGACAAGGACUAUUGGAGUUUCAAACAGAGAUUCAAGUCCUGUCGAGAAUCCGGCACAGGCACCUCGUUUCUCUAACGGGUUACUGCGAAGAGAACUCGGAGAUGAUCCUUGUCUACGAGUUUAUGGAGAAAGGUACGCUUAAAGAGCAUCUAUACGGCUCGGAUUUGCCUUCACUGACAUGGAAACAGAGACUAGAGAUUUGCAUCGGAGCAGCUAGAGGUUUGCAUUAUCUCCACAGUGGCUCAGAAGGAGCAAUCAUUCACAGAGAUGUCAAAUCCACAAACAUACUACUAGACGAGAACACCGUAGCCAAAGUCGCGGAUUUCGGGCUCUCAAACUCGCGGUUCGUAAUCAAGAUCCAAUCAAUAUCAGCACUAACAUCAAAGGAACAUUCGGUUACCUCGAUCCUGAGUAUCUGCAGACACACAUCUUGACGGAGAAAUCAGAUGUUUACGCUUUCGGAGUCGUUCUCCUCGAGGUCCUGUGCGCGAGAUCGGCUCUCGAUCCUUCUCUUCCUCACGAGGAAGUGAAUCUAGCGGAGUGGGCGAUGUUCUGCAAAUCCAAAGGGAUAAUCGAUGAGAUCUUAGAUCCGAAAUUGAUAGGUCAGAUCGAGCCGAGUUCGUUGAGGAAAUACAUGGAAAUCGCGGAGAAGUGUUUGAAAGAGUACGGCGACGAGAGGCCGAGCAUGGGGGAUGUGAUCUGGGAUCUGGAGUAUGUUCUUCAGCUUCAGAUGAUGCCGAUUCGCAGAGAGCCUCACGAGGAUAGCGCCGCGACGAUCUCCGGCGGCGGAGGCGAAAGCUCGUUGGUGAUUCCGAGGUUGAUGGUGAGUGAUUCGUUUAGCUCAAACUCGAUUGUUCAGAAGAACGAAGGGAAGAGUAGCUAUGGAGGUACAGAUUCAUCGGAGAGUCGAGUUUUCUCCCAAUUGAAGAUCUCCGAAGCAAGAUAAAAUUUCCUAUGAAACAUUCUGAUUUGAAAAGCGUCUGGUUUAAAGCUUUUGAUAUUAAAAACCGGUUAUUGCCGGUUUAAAUAUAAUCAUUUUAAAACAUAUGCAAAGUAACGAGUCAAUUGAAUGUAAUAUAAAAUUAAAACCCGGUUAUCGUCGGUUUAAAGUUAAUUAUUCUAAGACAAAUGCUAAUUUCCGAAUCGAAAAACAAUUCAAUUUAAUUAACCGAUAAAAACCUAAUUUCAAGAAAAGUUCUGAUUUGAUAAGUGAUUGGUUUAAUUUUUGAAAUUGAAACCCGGUUCCUGCCGGUAUAACGACUCAGCUGUUUGUGAUGUCGGCGAUGAACGAGUCCAGAUUCCGAGCCGAUGAUCCACCAGACGCCAACGCCGAUCUCGCCGCGUGCUUCAGCUCCGUCACUCUCCUCCUCAUAUCCGCGGCGGCAGAUCCUUCCCUCACGGCCUCAAUACAUCUCUCCACCUCUUCAACCUUAAGCUCUCCGUCGACAGCGUCGUUCCUCAUCCUCACUCCGAUCCCGAACACAUCCACAAGCAAUCUCGCGUCAAGCGGCUGAUCAAUCCAGCUCGGGUACGCCACCACCGGAACACCAGUCACCACCGUCUCCAUCGUCGAGUUCCAUCCACAGUGCGUGACGAAACAAGAGAUCGCCACGUGACUCAGUAUCCACUCUUGUGGACCCCACUCAAUCACAAUACCUUGACCUUCUCUAACCAUCUCCUGCAAAACGUCGACGUUUUCGCCUUUCUCCUUUGGCCUAAUCACCCAGAGAAACGAAACUCCUCUGUUUCUCAGAGCCGUUGCUAUGCUCUUAACUUGAGUCUCCGAAGAUUUCAGCAAACUUCCAAAAGAAAUGUAAACAACCGAAGACCUAGCUUGCUUGUCAAGCCACUCCAUACAAUACUCAUCCGAUUUCCACAUAUCAAGAUUUUUACCAUCUAGGGUUUUGUCUUCUUCAUCAGCUCCCAACAGAAAUGGAGAAACCAGAGGACCAAUUGGGAUCAUGGGUUUUAAACCAGACAUCGAUUCGAUUAUCUCUGAUUCGAGCUCGUAGAACGAAUUAACCAAAACCCAUUUCACAUCUUUCAAGCAAUCGACGAACUCCACCAUUAGGCUAUUGAAAUGACUUCCUGAAGAAGGCAAGAGAAACGAAGGGAGAUCUCCAACUUCCAACAAUGGUAAACCUGGCAAUUCAACCGUUUGAUUCAAAUCUUCGAGAUUCUCAGGGAAAGCAUUCGUCUUCAUGUAGUAACGGUAAUAAACCGAGAAAGCUCCACAAGCUUCGAUCCAGAGGAUUGCACAGGGGAUGUUAUAUGCAGCUGCAACACUUGGAACCCAUGGAGCAAAAGGCACAGUGACGAUGCAAGAGAAUCUCUUUGAUUCGACGAUUUUAGACAAGUUCUUGGCUCCGACUUUUUUCAACGAUGGUAUGAGAGAAUCUGCGGCUCUUGUGUGGUCUUUAGGCAGACCGUCGGGGAAGAAAGCAAGGUCCACUGGGCUACGGUGAUGUUCUUCGGCGGCGGUGGUGGUGGAGAGGAGGUCACGGGUUUUCUCGGUGGUAGCGAGAGUGAAGCUAAGGUUUGGUCGUGAGAGAUGUUUGGCGAAUUUGAGCAUUGGAUUAAGAUGACCUUGAAAUGGUAGUGCUACCAAUAGAACAUGUGUUUCUUGACCCUCACUAUUUCUCAUUUCUGCUUUGUUUAGAGGUGUUACUUAUUAGACUUGAGUUGUGUAUGAGAUUGUGUGUAACUUGUAAUUGUGGUGGUAUAUAUAACAAUGGUUGCUUAACGAUAGAUUUUUGCUUAAAAUGAAGUUAUUAAGUGAGAUUUUGGUAAGAAAAAUCUAUAUAUAGUAAAAAUUGGUAACCCAAUAAAAUGUAAUAGAUUCAAAAGUUACCACGUUUAUUAGCACCCUGCGCCUUGUCCUUAACUCAAUUCAAAUCUUGUAUAAUUGUUGACCAAAAAAACACGAUAUAUAUACCAAUUCUAGUAUGGUUAAAGUCAACAGUCAUUACUAAUGAUUUAUGAAUCUUUUUGUAUAGUGUGACACUGAGAUCAUUGUAAUUUGUUAAUGACAAUCUAUAAACUGUAAUUGGUAAUCCAAUAAACGUUGGUCAAUAAAUUCAAAUUUAAUCAUGUGUUUCUAUGCUCUUGUAAAUAAAUAAAUAUAUGUUAUUUUCAAUUGUGUUAUGGUUAUGAUUAGAUUUAUAUAAAAAAUAUGGUUAUGAUUAGAUUUAUAUAAAAAAAAACAGGUCUCAAUUCAUUCGGAUCAGUCUCGUUUGUAUCUGUCUCACUUUUAGAUUUGAAAUCCGUUAAGCUCUAUUUAGUUUUUGGAACUAACAGAGUAAUCGGUUUAUACAUGCCAAAAUUCUUUUAAUCUAUUUAAAACCAUUUACGAUAUGAUGCUUAAACAUUCUUAAUAUUUAUUUUAAAUUAUAUAAACUAAGCUUUUGGAAGCUAAUCAGAAGCUAACACACCAGUAUAAUUACCAUUGUUUUUUUAUUAAAUAAUAAUUACCAAUGUUUCAAGGCAUGCUUGAAUAUUCCACUAAGAAAAAUCAUCGAAAUUGUUUAUACUAAUCUAAAAUCCUAGCAAAGGUGGGUGAAUCUUUUUUUUUAAAUAGUUAUACAUAUUUUCGAGAUGACAAAAUUUAACAAUAUGAUAAAAUCAUAUGAACACUCGAACAUUUAUGUAGAUUUUAGUUAUGUUAUAUAUCCAAGAAGAAAUGAAUAAUAUUAAGUAACAUCUAUUACAAAUAACAUAUCAAUUGGUAACAUCAGAUGGCAAAUCAAAUAACAUCAUUACGUAGUAAAUUCAUGUGCAUGCGUUACUAGCUAAGCUUGUAUUCACUUUAUAAAAGAAAAUACAAAAUAGCAAUAGCAAUAAUGAAGGGAAGAGCAGCUACGGAGGUACAGAUUCAUUGAUCGAAGAGUCGAGUUUUCUCCCAAUUGAAGAUCUCUGAAGCAAGAAAACAAAUAAUCUCUUGAAUCCUUCUGAUUUAAAUACCGACUGGUUUUAACUUUUGAUAAUAAAAUCCGGUUAUUGCCGGUUUAAAUAUAAACAUUUUUUUAAGUCGACAAAAAAAAACAUUUCAAAACAGAUGUAAAGUGAGUCAACACUAUGAUCGAUGACUUUCUAGUUGAUGAGAAACGUGCACAAAAAGAAAAGGGUAACACUAUGAUCGAUCACUUGCUUUCUCUCCAAGAAACUCAACCAGAUUAUUAUACGGAUGUCAUCGUCAAAGGACUCAUAGUUGUAAGUAUUGAGGAAUACAUUUAAUACAUCACUAACAACUAACAAGGCUAACUAAGCUUUUUAUAAUGACUAAUUCUUGACUUCUAUUUGGAUAGGUUAUGAUAUUUGCCGGAAAUGUAACAAGAACGUUAGAAUGGGCGAUGCUAAAUCUGUUGAACCAUCCAGAAGUACUAAAGAAAGCGAGGAUUGAAAUCGAUACAAACAUUGGUUUGGACAGGUUAAUAGAUGAACAGGAUGCGAAAAGUCUUCCUUACCUCCAAUGCAUCAUAUCAGAGAUUUUUCGACUUUACCCGGCAGCUCCUUUACUUGCUCCUCAUAGGGCUACAGAUGAUUGUAUAGUUGGAGGCUACGACUUCCCUCUUGGCACGACAUUAAUCGUGAACGUAUGGGCCGGCCAUUCACCGAGACCCAAACAUAUGGUAAGAGCCAGAAAAGUUCAAGUUAGAGCGGUUCGAGAAGAAAGGAGAAGAACAAAAGUUGAUGCCGUUUGGAAUGGGACGACGAGCUUGUCCCGGGUCUGGUCUAGCUCAACGGGUCGUGAGUUUGGCUCUCGGAUCGAUGAUUCAAUGUUUUGAAUGGGAGAGACUUGGAGAAGAAUAUGUUGACCUAAGCGAAGCAACCACAAUGCGUCCAACGACGCCGUUGCUAGCCAUGUGUAGAGCUUGUCCUAUUGUUCAUAAGAUUUUCAAUACUUCUUUUUGAGAUGUCACUCCCUUUUUAAAAAAUAUGUAUAUCCAUUUAUGUUAUAUCCAUUUUGAGAUGUAAUUAAAAUGAAAGACAAAGACUAGUCUUUGAUUUGCCUUAAGAUUUUCCAUUUUAUUAAAAUUCAAAAACUAUUUUUUUUUUUCAAAAACCAAAAUUUAGAAGUUAAAUGCUACUCCAUUAUCAAAUAAACUCACUUCUAAAUUUCUAUGAAUGAGGAGUAGUUUUUUACUUUGAGAAAGUGUGAAGAAAUUUUUCCAAUUUCUUAGUUUUUGUUUGUUUUUUUUUGAGAAAGGGUUAAGAAAAGGGAGCUUGUUUUAUAAUGGAAUCUCUCAUGCAAUUAUUCCCACCUGUCACUAGAGAUAUGUUCGUAACUUCGUAACGUCUCAUGCAAUUACUGACUAAUAAACAUGUGUGAUAAGUCACCAUUAAUAUUUAUUGUCUAUUUCUUUUGCUUUUAAUUAUUAGGGUUUUGAGUAGAAAUUUGUUUCUUUCUAAUAUUAUAGACAAUAUAUAUUGCUAGCGUUUACGUUUUUUAUUUUGGUUCAAAACAUAGUGGUUAAAAAUAAACAAAUCAUAAAUUUUUAUUAUUAGUCAUUAAUGAAUGAGAGACGUUACGAACAUAUCUUUAGUUUAUUAAAAAAAAAAAAAGAUAUCUUUAGUGACAGGUGUGAUAAUUGCAUGAGAGUUUUCAUUAUAAACUAAGCUACAUAAACUAAUAACUCCCACGUUCGAUUCAACACAUUUACAACAAGAAGAAGUUCUUGAUCUAAAAUGGAAACUUAUUUUCUUAUUUUAUCCCUCGCCAUCUUCUUUUUCAUUUCUCUUAAACUUUUGUUUAAUAAACCGCAUAACAAGUUUAACCUACCACCAAGUCCGGCGAGGCCACUACCGUUGAUUGGACACCUUCACCUCCUGAAGCAGCCUCUCCACCGCACAUUCCUAUCUUUCUCUCAAUCCCUCGGCAGUGCCCCAAUUUUCUCCCUCCGUCUUGGAAACCGUCUCGCGGUUGUCGUCUCCUCCUACUCCAUCGCAGAAGAAUGCUUCACGAAAAACGACAUCGUUUUGGCUAACCGACCAGAGUCCAUAGUCGGGAAAUACAUUGAGUACAACUUCACCACUGUGACCAGCGCGCCUUAUGGUGACCACUGGCGAAACUUGCGGCGUCUCAGCACCCUCGAGAUCUUCUCCUCGCACAAGCUCAAUGGCUUUAUAUCCGUCCGUAAGGACGAGAUCCGACACUUGCUACUUCGUCUCUCCAAAAACUCGCAACAUGUAUGUGAGCUUCUACAUAUUAGUACUCUAUGACUAUAUACAUUAUCAGAGUUUGUAACCUAGUAGUUUGUCUUAGUGUGGCCUCUAGGUCAUAACCUAUAUAUAUACAUUACUUGAAGAUCUGCUCAGAGUUUGUAACCUAGUAGUGUGGCCACUAAAUUAAAAGUCAUAACUUGAGUACCAUGCAACAAAAGUUUGAGAAUUAAUCAUUUGUUUAUUUGAUAAUAAAUUAGGGGUUUGCCAAGGUGGAGAUGAGAUCAUUGUUUAUGGAUUUGACUAUCAAUAACAUUCUCAGAAUGAUGGCUGGGAAAAGAUUUUAUGGUGAUGGAACAGAGCAAGACGACAAUGCACGGCGAGUGAGACAGCUUAUUGACGAGGUGGUAUCCUACGCCGGCGCCGGGAAUGCUACCGAUUAUAUCCCAAUCUUGCGUUGGAUCACAAGUUUUGAGAAACGGGUCAAGAACUUAGCGGGUCGGGUCGAUGAGUUCUUGCAGAGCCUGGUGGAUGAAAAACGUGCGGAUAAAGAAAAGGGCGACACUAUGAUGGAUCACUUGCUUUCUCUCCAAGAAAUCCAGCCUAAUUAUUACACAGAUAUCACUCUAAAGGGGAUUAUAGUUGUAAGUAUUUAUUUUCUACAUUUAUUAAUCUUGAAUAAUCUAUUUAAUAUAUAACAACACAAACUAAACAUUUGUUAAUUUAAUUUUUACAGGUUAUGAUACUUGCCGGAACUGAAACACUAACAGGAACAUUAGAAUGGGCUAUGUUGAAUUUGUUGAAUCAUCCAGAGGUAUUAACGAAAGUAAGAACCGAAAUCGAUACCAAAAUCGGUUUUGACCGGUUAAUAGAUGAACAAGAUAUUAAAAAGCUCCCUUAUCUCGAAGGGAUUGUGUUGGAGACCUUACGUCUCCACCCUGUAGCUCCUACACUUGUUCCACAUAUGACGUCAGAUGAUUGCAUGUUGGCCGGAUACGAUGUUCCAAGUGGAUCCAUGCUAUUGGUGAACGUAUGGGCCAUGCAUAGAGACCCGUCUCUAUGGGAAGAUCCAGAAAUGUUCAAGCCAGAGAGGUUCGAAAAUGAAAAUGAAAAUCAAAAGGUGUUGUCGUUUGGGAUUGGACGACGAUCAUGUCCCGGGGUUGGAUUAACUCAUCGGCUAGUGAGCUUGGCUCUUGGAUCGAUGGUUCAAUGUUUCGAAUGGGAGAGAAUUGGAGAAGAAUAUAUUGACACUAGAGAGGCACCUAUGAUGCGUCCAACUACCCCGUUGCAAGCCAUGUGUAAAACUUGUCCCAUUGUCCAUAAGAUUCUCGAUGCUUAUGCUUGAAUUGUAACUCUUCUUGGUUUGAUUUAUGUUCGGAAAUACUACAUCAACUUGUUUUGAGUUGGGAAAUAAUUCAAAAUCCUUCUAAGAACGCUCUCAUGCAAACUGUUGAAUGUAUCUUCAAGGUUCUGAUCACCAUCUAGCUGAGUCUUUACGGAAAAUUAGAUCGUCACUAAAUAUUAUCAUUUUACCUUCGAAUAUAUUGAUUUUGUUGCCCUGAUGAUACACUUGAAAUAAAUAAAAAACAACCAUAGAGACACUCAAAUAAAAAAAAAGCUCAUAGCUUUAAAAUUUCUUGUAUAUUUUGAAACUAAAAUUAAGCUAUAUUACUUAUACUGAUAUUCCAUUUCUUCACAGUAUGAUCUAAUGAUUUUUGCAAUCCUCUAUGCUUUUGUUGUUGCAAUUAUACUUAUAUCUCCAUUUCAUUACAGUAUGAUAUAUAUAUAUAUAUAUAUAUUGUAAGUUUUGCAAUCCUCUACAUAUCAUUCUUCCCACAGCUCUAUCUGAAAAUUCCAUAUAUAUGUUCAACUUAUCUCUCUUCGUGUGUUGUGAAUUGUGUAUUAGAUUUGAGUAUUACAUUUGUACUUUUACAAUUCUUUUUUUUUUUUAUAAUCUUGAAGUGCUCUAGGAAUUAUAAUUAUUAUAUCAUGUUGGAUUUUUAAGAAUUUUGGUUUUUAUGAUAUUUUGUAAAAAAUUAGAGAGUGAUGUGUUUCUAGGGACAAAAGACGAAGACUUGAAAAAUCAACCCUCGUCUUUUUCCUCAUCGUCCCAUUAGAAAUCUCAGUUUUCUCUUCAAUCUUAUCUUCUUCCUCAGAAUCCUCUUCACAUCGACCACAGGUUUCUUCAUCCAUCGACUUAUUGAAAUUUCUUGUAGUAUAAGUUAAACCAAAAUGUGUGGAAACUAUUCAACACAAAAGACUUUUCACUCUCUUCUUUCAACGUGAAUAACACUUCGUACGAAGGACUAAAUGGUGAGCCAAGCGAAGCUGAGUGGAUAUGGAGCACUGACUAUAUGUAUUUAAAGAGAUGGCAUGAAAACAAUUUAACCAUCACAAUUUCCAUUUGCUCGCUUCUUUUUCACUAUUGAUUUUCAAGAAAGUUAAAAAUUAGCUUAAAGAAAAAACGAAAGGCUCUUGAAACUCAAUGAGUACCAUUCAUAUUUCUCUUUCUUUUCUCCUCUUGUUCGUUUUUAGUUUUCAUGACGUGUUUGCUGCUCCUACUAGACACUUGUGUCGUCCGGAGCAAAGGGAUGCACUUCUCGAGUUCAAGAAUGAGUUUGAGAUUCGGAAGCCUUCUUUUGAGUGUUAUGUUAAUGGUAGCUAUGUGCGCCCUUACCCGAAGACGGAGUCAUGGGCAAAUAACACUGAUUGUUGUUAUUGGGAUGGGAUCAAGUGCGAUGCCAAAUCUGGGGAAGUGAUCGAGCUAGACCUCAGUUGCAGCUGUCUCUACGGCAAGUUUCGUUCCAAUACCAGUCUGUUUAGGCUUCACAGCUUUCGUUUUCUCACCACUUUAUACGUUUCAUAUAAUGAGUUACAUGGUCAAAUCCCGUUCUCAAUUGGAAAUCUUUCUCUUCUUACUUCUCUCGACCUUUCUUCCAAUGGGUUUUCGGGUCAGAUUCCAUCUUCAAUUGGAAAUCUAUCACUGCUUACCUUUCUGAGACUUUCUGAUAAUCAGUUUUCGGGUCAGAUUCCAUCUUCAAUUGGAAAUCUUUCACAGAUUACCACUCUCCGUUUUUCCUUUAAUCAGUUUUCGGGUCAGAUUCCGUCUUCAAUUGGAAAUCUUUCACUUCUUACCUCUCUUGAUCUUUCUUCCAAUCAGUUUUCGGGUGAGAUUCCAUCUUCAAUUGGAAAUCUUUCACUGCUUACCUCUCUCUAUCUUUCUUUCAAUCAGUUUUUGGGUCAGAUUCCAUCAUCAAUUGGAAAUCUUUCACUGCUCACCUCUCUCCAUCUUUCUUAUAAUGGGUUUUCGGGUGAGAUUCUAUCAUCAAUUGGAAAUCUUUCACUGCUCACCUCUCUUCAUCUUUCUUAUAAUGGGUUUUCGGGUGAGAUUCCAUCCUCAAUUAAAAAUCUUUCACAGCUCACCUUUCUCAAACUUUCUUCCAAUCAGUUUUCGGGUCAGAUUCCAUCUUCAAUUAAAAAGCUCUCUCAUCUCCAAACUCUUCACCUCAGAUAUAACAAAUUCACUGGUGAAAUCCCAGAUUCUUUUGCCAGUUUGAAAAAUUUGACCGAGUUAGAUGUUAGUUUCAAUAAGCUUAGUGGUAAUUUUCCAAUUUGGCUACUAAAUUUGACAAAGUUGUCGUAUUUAUCACUCGAAUACAAUCAACUCACAGGAACGCUUCCCUCAAACAUUAGCUCACUCUCCAACUUGCGAUAUUUUUGGGCACGUGACAAUGAUUUCGUUGGAACCAUUCCUUCUUCUCUCUUCACCAUUCCUUCUUUGACAAGAAUUUAUUUGUCAAAUAACCAACUCAACGGCACUCUUGAGUUUGGGAAUAUAUCUUCACCAACAAAGCUAGAGUGGUUAGAGCUUGGCGGUAACAACUUGAGAGGGCCAAUACCGAGAUCCAUUUCCAAAUUAGUCAACCUCCGGGGACUUUACCUUUCCAAUUGGAACACCCAAUUAGGCCCAAUUGACUUGAGUAUCUUCUCGCAUCUCAAGUCACUCGGAUUUCUUUACUUAUCCCAUUUGAACACCACCACCACGAUUGACUUGAAUGCCAUCUUAUCAUUUUUCAAGUCGCUCGAAGGAUUGGAUCUCUCAGGCAACCAUGUUUCAGCCGAAACCAAGAGCUCAGUUUCAGAUCCUCCUUCGCAAAUGAUACGAGAAUUAAACUUGUCAGGCUGCGGUAUUACCGAAUUUCCAGAGAUCAUAAGAACCCUGCAGUCUAUGGAGAGACUAGACAUUUCCGACAACAAAAUCAAAGGUCAAGUGCCUGGCUGGUUAUGGACUCCACCAAAUCUGACGUACGUGAAUCUUUCCAACAACACUUUCGUCAGUUUCGGAAGACCAACGAAACAUGGACUAUCCUCUGGCUUGUGGUACUUGUCUGGCUCCAGAAACAAUUUCACGGGAAAGAUUCCCUCCUUCAUAUGUGCGUUGGGCUCUCUAAGCGUUCUCGAUUUAUCUGAAAACAACUUCACGGGAAAGAUUCCCUCCUUCAUAUGCGCGUUGGGCUCUCUAAGCGUUCUCGAUUUAUCUGAAAACAACUUCAAUGGUUCAAUCCCUCUUUGUAUGGAGAAUCUCAAGAGUAAUCUUUCGGUUCUAAACCUCCGUCAGAAUCAUCUUAGCGGAGGCCUUCCGGAGAAUGUAUUUGAAAGUCUAAGGUCCCUUGACGUUGGUCAUAACCAACUGGUGGGAAAGCUUCAAAGAUCUUUGAUCCAUUUCUCUGCCCUUGAAGUUCUAAAUCUGGAAAGCAACAGAUUCAACGACACCUUUCCGUUUUGGUUGAGUUCUCUACAAAACCUGCAAGUUCUUGUCUUACGCUCCAAUGCAUUCCAUGGACCGAUUCAUCGAGCCUCCUUCCUUCAGCUGAAAAUCAUGGACAUCUCGCAUAAUCACUUCAACGGAGUUUUACCGUCGGAUUACUUUGUGAACUGGAGUAAAAUGUCAUCACUUGGGACAGAAAAAGAUCGGUCGGAUGUAAACUACAUGGGAGAAGGUACCUAUUACGAAGAUUCAAUGGUUUUGAUGAAUAAAGGCUUAGAGAUGGAGCUGGUACGUAUAUUAAAAAUCUUCACAGCACUCGACUUCUCCGGAAAUAGAUUUGAAGGAGAGAUUCCAAGGUCCAUCGGCCUAUUGAGAGAGCUUCACGUGCUCAACUUGUCAAACAAUGCUUUCACUGGCCACAUUCCAUCAUCUAUGGGGAACCUGACAGCUCUCGAGUCACUUGACGUUUCCCAAAACAAGCUUUCAGGUGAGAUCCCACAAGAGCUAGGGAAUCUCUCGUACCUUUCUUCCAUGAACUUCUCUCAUAACCAGCUUGUCGGUCUAGUACCUGGAGGCACUCAGUUUCGAACGCAGCCUUGCUCUUCCUUCGAACACAACUCAGGACUUUUUGGCCCUUCUCUUGACGAAGUUUGCAAAGAUAUCCACAAGCCAUCAUCGCAAGAGUAUGAAACACCGGAGGAGGCAGAGGAAGAAGACGAAGAGGUGUUUAGUUGGAUUGCAGCUGCAAUAGGAUUUGGACCUGGCAUUGUAUUAGGAUUGACGAUUGGAUACAUAUUGGCCUUCUACAAACCGAGGUGGUUCACGAGUCCUUUUGGCCGAAACAAACACAGAAGCAGAAGCACCACAGCUCAUUAAGUGAGGUAAUCUUCUGAAUUUCAUAGAUUAUAGACUAUGUAUAGUAUAAUGAAUUUUUCUGGGUUAAUGUAUACUGUAUGUGAAAAUUAACUUUUUACGCCGUUUUUGUUUGUAUAGCGUUCUUAAACCCAAGAUGAAAAAUCUUUGAAAAAGAGAAUGAAGCAACCAGACCAUAGGACUGUAGAGAAAGAAGCUUGGGGAGAAGGCAACCCAUUUUAUCAAAAACUAAAUAUCAGUGAUUGUUUCCGGUUUAGUUUUGUGUGUUUAUCAUAUACUCUGUUUUUAGCCAAUGUUUUUGUUUCUCUGUAAUUGAACAAUGAAAGACUGUUUACAAAGCUCAAACUUAUUCCUAUUUCUCUGUGAUUGGACAUGAUUUGAGAGAGGUUAUAAUGCUCUUGCUCCGACUAAAUCAAUCAUUCUUCUGCCAAAUGAAGAACUAAGAUUCAACACACAUCUCAGAAAAUUGAUCCUUUUUCUCUUUUGGUAAUAUUAAUUAGCUGAGUAAAAUGAUAACUUAAUUAGUUUAUUGAAAGAUAUUUCACUGAGAAAUAUAUUAGUUAGUGGCGAUCAGGAUCAGCGACCAAUUAAAGCUAUAGAUAUAGUUGCUUAAAACCCAAGCUUUGCCAUUACAAUGAGGAAAAAAAAUCAUCUCACAAAUCAUUCCACUUUCCAACUACUGAAACUCUACAAUAGUCAAAUGACUCAAAUCGGAAUAAGAAAGUUAUACAUACACACAUAAUUUAAGGUCACAAUGACAAAAUCGUCGGUCUUACCAAAAAGAGUAUAAGUAUUCAUCAAAAGACAUCUUCUAAAAUGAAUUAUAUUAAAAAAAUUUGGUGAAAACAAACAAGAAAUUUUUACUGCUUAAUUAUUUUUGUUUUUAAAAACCAAAAGGUAAAUGGAAGUCGCUCUAAUUUUUACUUAUAAACCAAAACAAGAAAUUUUCAGUUAUAUCGUUCUAAGAUGAUGCAAUUGAUAGUAUAAUCUAUACGACUCUAUACUCCACUGAUACUUUUUCGUUUUUAAGCAGACAACUUUUCAGAGUACAAAUCUUUUGUUAUUUUUAUUCCUGGGAGAUGUAUAUCCUAUAAACAAAACUGUGUUAAAUGGAAGGACUUCAUGGACACCAAAACCAGAGGAGAAACGAAGACAGACGGUUUAGAAAUAUUUUGAUCACAUCCAAAAAAUAUAAUUCGAUAUUUUUUAUCAGAUUAAAGAAAAAACGUAUCAUUUUGAUCACAUCACAAAGUCAGUGCAAAAUCACAUCCAAAAAACUGUGAUAAUUUUGAUCACAUCACAAAGUCAGUGCAAAAUCAUAUAAAAAAAAUUCGAAUAAAGAAAAAACGUAUCAUGCCAAACGAAACCAAACAAAUAAAUAGAUAACAGUUGACUGACCGAGUCAGUCAUGGACAAAAACGAAGACUUGAAAAGUCAACUCCGGUCUUCUUCCUUAUUGUCCCACCAAUAAUUUACUUUUUUUCCUUCAAUCUCAUCUUCUUCCUCAAUCCUCUGAACAUCGACCACAUAUUUCUUCAUCCAUUGACCUCAAAACUUGACUUUCAUAGUUUCACUAUUGACUCUCUUUCUUUCUCUCUCUCUCUCUAGAUUUUCCAACAAAGCUAUGGAGAAACUCUGUUUUCGAAACUCAUUUUCUCUCUUUAUGACGACUGUGGUCAUUAUUCUUCUUCCUCGUUGCACUCUUUCUGCUACUUCUAUAUAUUCUCAUCGUCCCGAGAAGUUUUACGUCAACUGUGGGUCGGAUUCUAUUGUCACUUAUGGUGGUCGGACCUUCGUCGGAGAUAUGAUCUCCGGUGGCAACUCCGUUUCUUUCAACAGUAAAGGAACUGAAGCCAUCAAUCAAUCAGGAUCAGGAAUCUAUGAAACGGUUAGGAUAUUCAGACGCCCUUCUUCUUACAAGUUCCAACUCGAUUCCAUUGGUCUGCACUUCGUGCGUCUCCAUUUCUCUGCUGUCUCUUCUCGGACAGAGCUUUUAACUGCUCGUUUCACAGUCUCAGCUACUUCUCACUUGAAAAGUUUCUCGCUUCAGAAUUUCAAUGAGACCCCACGAGUUGAGGAGUUUCUCCUGAUGAUUGACUCGCCAGAAUUCGAAAUUCGAUUUGUGCCCGAUCAUUCAUCCAUGGCUUUUGUCAACGCCAUCGAAGUGUUCUCUGCUCCUAAUGACCUAGAAAUUCCGUCAGACUCCGACAAGAAUCUGCAUACGGUUUACAGAUUAAACGUAGGAGGCAAGAAGAUCACACCAGAAAACGACACCUUGGGAAGAACUUGGUCAGUUGACGAGGACUUCCUCUACGAAAAAGAUUCUGCGAGGAACAUUAAUUCAACACAAAAGCCUAACUACGAGUCAGGGACAGCGACGCCAUUCACUGCUCCUGAUUUUGUCUAUCAGACAGCGAAAACGAUGAACCAUAGCUCGAAUGAGGGGAUGGCAGAUGGGAUGUUGAUGAACGUUACUUGGUCAUUUAAGGUCAAUAGCAACUCUAGACACUUACAUCAGGGUUCACUUCUGUGAUAUCAAGAGUGAAUCACAAAAUCCCGACUCCGAUUUCUAUCUCUAUGUAAACGGACAAUCACGACUAGAUGUAAAGCCUUCAGAGCGUAUUAGGUUGGUGACUCCGUUUUUCAAAGAUGUGAAUGUCUCUGAUGGUUUUGGACUCUUGAAUGUUACAAUAGGUACUAAGGAUUCCACUAAGGAUGCUGGUUUUCUGAAUGGUCUGGAGGUGAUGGAGUUUUUGAAAAAGUCAGAUUCUUCAGAUAAAAGUAGUUUCCGGGUUUACAUCAUCGCUGGCUGUGUUGUUGCUGCAUCGGUUCUGGUGUUGAGUUUGUUGUUCACAGUCUUCUUGAAGCGGAGGAGACUGAAGAAGGAGAAGAAGUCAGAUGCUGAGGUCACUGAAUGGUCUCCUUUGCCAUUGUACAGAGGUGCUGGGAGUUCCGACAAUAGACCUUCUGAUCCGGUCAACAAUUCUCCAUUACGCAGCAAUAGAACAUUUGAUCCGGUCUACAAUUCGCCAUUACGCAACCUAAACUUAGGCUUGACCAUUCCCUUCAUAGACAUUAUGAGAGCUACAAACAAUUUCGACGAGCAGCGGUUGAUCGGGAGAGGCGGUUUUGGAGACGUUUACAAAGCCAUUCUUCAAGAUGGAAGCAAAGCGGCUAUCAAGAGAGGCAAG
Molecule: long non-coding RNA, 63706 nt
Filed under: Eutrema salsugineum
Lineage: Eukaryota; Viridiplantae; Streptophyta; Magnoliopsida; Brassicales; Brassicaceae
Description: long non-coding RNA (ESAL_LNC001441)
Source: RNAcentral